Molecule: long non-coding RNA, 46157 nt
Filed under: Fragaria vesca (wild strawberry)
Lineage: Eukaryota; Viridiplantae; Streptophyta; Magnoliopsida; Rosales; Rosaceae
Description: long non-coding RNA (FVES_LNC000570)
Source: RNAcentral
UUCUAGGAUAUUCUGUAUCUUUCUAGAUAUUCUUUAUGUGUGCAUUGGCCUUAUGCCAAUAGGAUAUGUAGUUAGACUAAUUCUAUGUAUUCAUAUCCUUACCAUAUUGGUAUUGUGUAAUUCCCUAUAUAAAGGGCUCAUAUCAAUGAAUAAGAUGAUGAUUCUCUUGCUAUCUCUUUCUCUACACUUUAUAUUUCAUCACGUUAUCAUGCACUUUGUUAUAACCCUAGAGCCAAUAGCCCACCAUUUGUUUUCCAAACCCUAAAAUCUGACAGCCUUGUUUUUCCUGAUUUCCGACCAAAAUUCCGACUGCCCUCUGCCGGAGUUUUAUAUCCCCAGAAAGCUCUCUCCGUCCUGGAUCCAACGCCGCCGGCCUCACCCUGAGAACCGGCCGGAAAGUCUUCGAACCGGCCGCUAGAAGAUUCCAGACCGCCGCCGCUACCGACCACCGGUUCACCACCUUCCCUUGCUCCGAUCAACCUGAAAUUUUGACAGCAGCUUCCCCAUCCAGAGCUGCUCAUUCUGUCAAAUUUUCAGCCCCAAAUUCGAAGUAUAAGUAGGCGAAACGUUAUUUCUCCUCUCGGCAGCCUCUAGAAACCAAAGAUUUCAAGAUUGGUCGUCUUCCAAGGAAACCAGAAAGGUAUGUUUUGAAACCUUAAACUUUUCCAAGUUCAAUAACUCGGGGAGGAUAAAAUCUUUUCCGCCCUUCUCUAUCUCCAUUCUAUGCUUGGGAUUUUGUGUGUGCAGGUACCAAAAAUCCCGGAAUUUUAUUCGCGGGUCAAGAGUGUAUUUGAUCACUCUUGCUUCCUUGUCCAGGUUGUGUAUGAUCAACCCCAACCUUUCUCCGGAUUGUGUUUGAUCAAUCCGAGGCCUUUUCCGAAUUGUGUUUGAUCAAUUCGCGACUUUUUCCGGAUUGUGUAUGAUCAAUCCGAAGGACAAACCAUUAAAAGCAUUGUUUGUGACCUCUAUCGAGUCUCAUAACAGCUUGGUUUUGUAUGCAAGAGCAACGUAACAUUCUGCUCAUUGAGUUUUGACGUACUCGAUACCUAAGACGAAUCUUCGCUUGGUAUCUGUGGAACAUUUCACUGGAAAGGAUUAAACAACAUAUUUUGACCCCCAGGCUAACAAGCCUAGAUGCCGAGAUUUCACAUCUCAUGCGCUCAAAGUCUUUGACGCGCCACAUCGACAAGCCUUCAAUGGCAAUCUGUGUAAAAAGUAAUGACCACAAAGUACUAUGGAAUGCACUCAUGGAGCGUUUCUUGAAACGUCCAUAUAACUCUACUUGUUGAGUUAUUAGUCAAGUGGAUUACUUACCGCCUUAAUUGACUACAUAUUGUCGAUGAUCAUUUGUGGCAUCAUGAUCCAUAACCUUUAGCGGAUUCGAUCAUCAUCAAGUUCUCUAGGUCCUCCAAGUUGGUUUGGAAUUACCAACGAGACUUGAUUUUGAUCAUACAAACGGGAAUUGUAUAUAUACGCUAAUGUGAUAAAUUUAUUUAGGAUUAUCCCCUAAAUGUGGGAACAACAAUAUGGGUCAUGACAACGGCAGAAAACGUCGUGCCGAUGUCUAGAAAAGAGGGGGAGGUGUCACCGGCUCUAAUAGCAACACUCCCGGUCUAGACACCAUUUUGUCAAAACUACUCACGUCAGCUCAUGACAACGCAACCAUUGUGGAUCUUCGGAUCACUGGUUCAAGAUUGUCAAGCUCCUUCAAAUUGUGAAUGCAUACAAAAAGGUAUAGAAAAUCAAUAUGAGGACAAGAACAUCAUCCUCAUGAUCGCGAAUUUCAAAGAUUCGGAUCCUGCUCUAGCUACCCAUGACUUUGACGUCAUCGACUAGACAUUGAUUUUCGUUCCAAGCUAUAUGUACUAAGGCGUUGAGACCUUGAUGUACUCACAUUAGCAAUAACGAAUGCCUUGAGAAUUUUUUCGAAGUUAUAAAACUAUUCUCCUCUUAUGGUUCGUAUUGAUUUACAAACAAGAUUUACAUUUUUACAUCGUCCUUAGAAGCAUGGCAUAUUUACAAUCUACAUGGUUAGAUUGUGCAGUUUUGGUCUCUUCCAAGUGGAGAUGACGCACGCCCUUGCAUCCUUAAGUAGGAUCGCUAACGUGUUUCCGGUUAAGUCUUCUACCCUAUAGCAGAUUUUUCAUCAUCAAUUGUUCAACUAGGCUCAUCCAAGCUCAGUGUGAUGUCUUAGAAUUGCCCGAAAUUAAGGAGAUAGUGGUUUCAAGUGUGCCUCGCACUACCGACCCUCCACGGACAUGCCUGGUCAUACUGACUUGGAGUUACCGAAAGCUUUUGAUUUUGGAUCCCCCUACGCUAUUAAACCAAUUGCCGUCUUGCAAAAGAUGUUGAAGACUUAUCAAAAACCGGAAAAUUAUCAUCAUGAUCUAAUCCUCUAGGUCCUCUGAGUUAGUUUAUGUUCAUGUCAGGGAGAUUUUGCUAACUAGUCAUGGAGUUUACGACCUUAGAAUGACCGAAAGGACUUUGUUUUGAUCAUACACACGUCACUUGUGGCUAAGGCAAAAUCCUACACGCCACUUGCAAGCUUCACAGCUUCGCACAUGCCAAUUCUGCGAAAAACAGCAAUCUGUCCCUUCUGGACAGUCAACUUCGUUUGCGUUUUGUGAACAGCUCCGGACGAACCAGACAAUAAGCUUUAUAUCAUUGGAAAGCUCUAUGAGUCUAGUUUUCAGAACUUUUCGCGGUUCAUCUAUAUCUAUUUUAACAAGGAAGUUAUGGCUGUUUUAGUGCGCAAAAGUCAUUCUGCGCGGAAAUUUUUAUGCACUCUCGGGAUUGCAGCUUUUCGUAGCUUCUUUCAAUCCUUCUAAAUAGUUCAAGUGGAACUAUUAACUAGCCUAUCUACUCCUUCUUGUAGAUAUGUCUCAUCGAGACAUUGAGUGCUUCGCAGAUAGUGGAACUAUCCAUAACAUUCUAAGGAACCGGCAACUAUCUUUGGAUUUUGUGUCUUUGUAAAUCUUCUGUGACUACAAUGAUUGAAUCAUACCGGUCAUUCAAGGACGCGGUUUAGCUUAAAUCUUGAUGCCUCAUGGAACCAUGAUCAAUGUCACAGAUACCCUCUAUGCAUUGAGAGGCAAUCGAACCAUAUUGAGCUCUAAAGACAUUCCUGCUAAUAGUUUUCAUUUGAAAACACAUUGUGAGAAUGAACAAGAAUUCUUUUGUGUAUACCUUCUCAUGAAUGCGGACUGAAGUGCAUCUUGGAGAAAUUCAUGAGUCAAUCUAGUGGACUGUAUGUCACUAUGAUUCGAAUAUGAUUCGAAUAUCGAAUCUCAUGUUGUCACCAAACAUGAUAUUUGGGACACUGACUCAUAUAGGCUUUGGUUUUAACCAAUUAAGGUCAUCCUAGAAGAGAUAUAAUGGUCCAAAUUUUGAGAAAUUCUCAUGGACAUCCAUUCUUCCGCUCAAAACAAAGACAUUCGAGAUCUAGCAUCACCAUGAAGCAUGGUGGUGACCCGGGGGACAUUGACGUCACCCGAACAAGGCUCCAACUUCCCGGAGGCCGUCCGGUCAAUUCCUCAAGCAACUGAGGUGCACCAGCCUUUCCUCGAUGUCGCAUUGGCCCCCUGCAAUGCUUAUUACUCGUUUUGAAAGCCUAUUAUUUAGCUAAAUUAGGAGUGAGACCCUCCUACGCUAAAUAACACAAAAGUGAACAUUCUAUUCUUACAUAAAAUUAUGUAGAUAGAUACAACCAACUUGCGAACAUCUUUUAUGUUUUAUGGUGUUGGUUGAAGUGUUAACACACUGGUCAUGUGUUACACUAUUAUCUACUGCUUAUGUUGCUUAUACUUCUACGGGCUCACUACCCAUUCUUUAAAGAAGUUUAUCGGGAUGUAAGUUGAAGUGUCCUGUACCCCAUGUUCACACGCAAUACGGUCUCACCGAGGCUACGACUAAGCAACUUUAGCUUGUCGCUCGAACAUUAUUGAUGCGCACCAAUCUUUCUAUUGCGUCUUGGGGCUAUACAAUAUUUGCAUGCAGCUUUACUAUUCAUCUACAACUCACCAUCAUUGAAUAUUUUUGUACUACAGCUCGUGACUGUGUACCAGGAUUGCAAUCCUUGAGCUCAAACAAGAUUGAAACGGAUCUCCAAUCCUUGAGCUCAGCUAGAUAUUUAUUCUAGGUGUCAAAUCGCACUGCCACUGAAGGACAAUGAUGGGUCAUUUGAGAUGAAUAAGUAUUUAGGUUGGAUAUGAAUCUCCACCUAUAAUCCGCAUAUGUAGAAACCUUGUCAGACGAUCUCUUUCACCGCUAUAUUGCGGAUUGUCACUUUGAUGAGACAAUAUUCUCGCCGUUAGGGGGAGAUAAGAGCACAAGUGUUCAAGUGGAACGACGUGAAUUGUCGUGGUUUGUCCCCACUAAGUCUCAUCUUGAUCCCAAAUGCUUAAAGUGUUAAAGUGACGAGAUCACAUGCAGCAAAUAUGUCUGUAAGGAUUGAUGUCCUUUUCAAAGGACAUGGCGCGACCAAAAGGUGUUGGUCUUGACGCCAUCACCAUGGAUGGUGAUAUAGUGACGCCAUAUAGUGGCAAAAUUGGUGUCACAAAGCCGUGUGGCUCCCUAAAAGGAAGGAGACCUUUAGGUUCGAUACUUUCUCGCACUAGAAAGAAAACGAGCUUGGCACAACCUGAUCCAUUGAUCAGUGAUACUCAAAUCCGUCUCAUGAAGUCUGAAUUGUGAUUAUCGUUGGGGGACGCCUCAACGUCAAAUCCAAUCCAUAUAGAGAUCUCUACACGUAUUACACUAGUGUACAUGAGGACGUGGGAUAAUGAGUCUACUAUCGAACCACCCUUCGUUGAUGGAUAUCAACUUAGUUGAUUGGCCUAAUGGAAAGAUGUGAUCCAGCAUAACAAAGAGAUAGGUCCUUGGGCAGGUGAUGCCGACACCGCAAGCUAAACCCUAUCAACUAUGCCUUUGUUAGAUAACGUAGUGAGAACAAGAGCUUAGACUCACCUUAUGACGCAAGGUAUCUCACUAACACGCACUGAGAUCGACUACGAUAAGAUAUGCUUUCGUAAUGGAUGUCAUUGAACUCCACUACUUUGUCAGUUUGGUAGUUUCCGAAUAACUGAACAAGCAGCCUAUGAAUGUGAUCGUAAUAACAUCUCUACGGGAUCAGAGAUAUGCAUGAAGGUCUUGAACAGACUUCAUUCAUCCAAAUCAAGUGGCUCCAGACCACAGGAGCAUGUGUUUGCUAAAUGUAUUGAAACGCACAUGGACUCCACUUGAUUUGGAAGGGAUAUGGUGAAUUAUGCAUUUGCGUGUUCAUUCAAGAUUUACAUGGACUCUUGAUGGAUCAAGAGAUGCCAAUAUGUAUCAACAUCCGAAGAAAAAGAUCUUGGGAAGACACGGUCUCGAUAAGACACUCGAUGACUGUAUUGAUGAUGAUUUUUCAUCAAUCGGCUUAGGUGCUCUAACGAAAGUGAGGCCUACAUAUACUCCCAUGAUUAGUCAAAGUCUUUACUCUAAAGAGAGAUCCGUUGUUUUGUCUAAAGCAUGAUGACAAAUAUGUGUUAAGAGAUGGAGUUCCCAUCUAAGUACAAUUAGACGCAUCAAUGUACUCAACACAAUAUGAAAGACUUGACAUCUCAUUCGCUAUGAAAAGUUGUAAAGCUAAGUAUAGUUAUGCGCCCACGUAACGCCAAUGUAAUGGCAGUAACUCUUUUUUCAAUACUUAAUGGUAUGAAAGGUUGAGGCUAAUUCUAUCCCUACAUAAGAAAGACACAUCAAUAGCGAAAUCAAAAUCUGCCAAGUUUCGUAGGUCAACUUCCACGGGACCUACAAGAAAUCUCACUCACUAGAAAAUGGUGAAAUUGGUACCAUUGGAAAGUUCUAUGUGUCUACUUUCCAGGGACACCAACCAUUUGUUCAUACCUAUCAUAUUGAGUGAGUUAUGGCCGUUUUCAUAAAGUAUGACGAAUCUGUCCGAGAAUCUGAUUUUGGCAAAACAGUCAACUUCGACGGGACUUUGUGAAUAGCUCCUGAUGAAUCAGAACAUGUGUAAUAUACAGUUGGAAAGCUAAAUGAGUCUAGUUUCCAAAACCGUUUACGGUUCAUUCAUAUGUAUUUCCUAGAGGAAGUUACGACUGUUCUAGUAACUGAAGGUCAUGCUGCGCGGAAAUCUGAUUUCCUGCACAAACUUAUGUUUUGAGUUCACAAGCGGCCUUCUCCUCAAGAUCUAAGUGUAAAAGAUCAUUUGAGGACAAUACGGCAUGAUUUAGUUAAUCAUUGCCUAAUGCCACAUUUGAAGACAUGUUAAAGAGCAUUGACAUGCUAAGUUGUUGAAAUUUCCGUGAUUAGUAAAAAUCAGGAAUAGCCCUAUGAUUGAUGUAAAGAUCAGGGGGAGGUGCAAACUUCAGGGGGAGUCUAGCACAUACAUACAUGUCACUAUCAAAUGUGAAUGGUGCGUUGUACUCUUUUUCUCCUACGAUCAAGGUUCAGUUUUUCUCCCACAUGGUUUUUGUGACUUGACGAGGUUUUUAACGAGGCAACAGAUCAGCACCAUCGGCAUAUCAGAGCGGCACAAGGGGGAGUGUUCUAGGAUAUUCUGUAUCUUUCUAGAUAUUUUUUAUGUGUGCCUUGGCCUUAUGCCAAUAGGAUAUGUAGUUAGACUAGAUCUAUGUAUUCAUAUCCUUACCAUAUUGGUAUUGUGUAAUUCCCUAUAUAAAGGGCUCAUAUCAAUGAAUAAGAUGAUGAUUCUCUUGCUAUCUCUUUCUCUACACUUUAUACUUCAUCAGAGAAUAAUGUUUUUCUUGAUUUUAUUGGACUAUGGGCGUUCUGGGAAAAUUGAGGAGGUGUAUAUAACAUUUUAGUUAUUUGUAAAAGUAAAUUUGAGGUCCAUUAAACAAGAAGAUCCAACAGCCGUUUUUAGAGAUAUAAAUAGAACCUCCCAUGACGGAAUGAUAUUACAGUGAAGUUGAAAAAAAAAAAAAAAGUCACAAUGUGCUUGACCUAUAUAUAUAUAUAUAUAUAUAUAUAUAUAANNNNNNNNNNNNNNNNNNNNAAAAAAAGUAAAAACUAACAUAUGNUNUACUACUAUAUAUAUAUAUAUAUAUAUAUAUAUAUAAACCAUACUUUCUUGUAUCAUCUUCAAAAAUAAGGUUCAAAUUAACAGCUAAACAAAACAUCGAUUAUCGUACGUUAAUGUUUCCUUUAGUUAUAGACUACUAGCAGAAAUCCGUAAUAUAUAUAGCUCCACAAUAACUAGUAGUGAAGUAUCUACGUGCAUGCAGAGCUAUCUAUUUGUUCUGUACAUGGGAAUGGUGGGUUUGGCUUUAUACCGAUAAAGAACUCUCCUGUCCUUGAAAUUCCAGUUCUCAAAGGUCACGAAUAUCUUCCCUGGUUCACUAAAGUAGAAGGAGUUUCUCACACUCUCUCCUUGCAGUCUCUUCUUGUCUUGGAUUAGAAUGUUGUACGACCCUUCAUCAUCAGGAAGGAACUCUUCCUUGUACAACACGUCCCAUCCCACCACAGUUAGAUCCCACACCAUUGUCAAUCCACCCUAAUCAAAUGAAAACACCCCAAAAAAUGAAAAUUAUUAGUUAACAACAAGAUUCAACUCAUCAUUCGAUUAAACACGCGAUUAAUGACGAGAAUUAGUACCUCAACAACUGGAAUUUCAAUAUAGUUGAUUGUGUUUGCUUUGAUUAUGAGCUCAGAUACUUUGUCCUCUGGUGUGAACUCAUCAUCUUGCUCUCUUUUGAGGCCACCAUAUUGAACUGGGAGUUCUUCUGGUUCUAUGAACCUUUUUUUUCAUAAUCAUUUCCAUGCAAAGUAACUUGUGUAUUAGAGACACGGAUGAGAUACUAAUGUAAUUGGAUAGUUUCAAUUUUUUGAGUAGUAAUCUCACUCACUUGAGAAGGGUCUUUGUAACCUUUUGGGAUCUAGCAAAGAUGAACGUCUUCUUAGUUCUGUGACUUAGAAACCUUGAUCGGAGCACAUGAGACACAUAAUACCAAAGUGGAGCAUUGAUAACAAUCUGCCAGUGGAAAGCAAGAAAUUAACAUAUACCACAUUGUAAUUAGCAAGUGCAGAGUUUUGCUACUUACAUUCUUUUGAAUGAGCUCAGGAUAGUUGUCCUGUAACAAGAGCAGAGUUUUGCUACUAAGCGAACGAAGCUCCUUAAAAUCGGGGCCUGGGGAAUCCUUCAAAUCCGUAAUCUGAACCAUCGAAUCAACCCCUCUCUUGAAGUUGAGCUUCUUGAUUCCCUUUUCAAUGAAUUGAACUCUCCACCUCAAAAACUGUUGGCGUCUUGCUUCAGACCCGAAUGUUUUCUUGUACAAGUCUUUGUCCUUGAAAGGUCCAUACGAAGUGUAACACAAAGGGUGGCCAUCUUUGUCUCUACUAUUUAUGCACACCACGUCUUCAAGACCAGAGACUCCUAAAUCUUCUUCCAGAAUUUCAUCAGUCCUGAAUUCUUUUCGCCAUUUCAGGGUUCUUUUCAGCAUUUCAAAUGCGUCGCUGGUCUUGUAAUCCCGGGCUUUCAAGAAUUUGAGGAGCAAAACAUCAGUGCCUUGAUGGCCUUUGCUUGGCAACAAAGGCACACCCCAUAGGGUAAUCUCCUUGAGUUGUUCUUUCUGCCUCAAGCUUUCAUUUCGGCUAAUCCUUCUGCUGGGUUUUCCGAGAAUGUAAUUCCCCAUAAUUGCAUCUUCAACUCUGCACCGGAAUUCCAUCAAGGCUUUCCUCUUCUUCUUCUUCAUUGACGCAGAAGCAGCUUUGGUUUCCUCAUCAUCCUCUAUAGCUCUACGUUCAACAUCUUCUUCAUCACUAUCCGGACAUAAUUCCCGGGGGCUUUCCAAGAUGUAGUCAUUAGGCUGAUCAUAAUUUCCCAGAGGCGAGUCAAGCUCUUGCUCUCUGCCCUGGUAAUUAGCUUCAUUUUUCAUUUUGGGUCUCCUGAUCAUUCAUCUCCCAUUGUCAAAUAUAGAGGAGAUUGAAAUCCCCGGCAUUCAGAGUUUCCGGGGAAACUGAAUAUUGGUGGUGCUCGGAUUCAAUGAUGGGGAGUUGAGAACGACGAACACAAAAAGUUUACAUCUUUCCUUUCUCUAUUACCUCAAGCUCAAGAAAGGCCUGGCGCCAAAUUUAGGUUGGACAAUCGUAGUAACUAACGGUGAGAUUGGAACAGGCUUUUUUACAAGUGUUUUAAACUUUUAUCCCCAAUUCAUCGGGCUUGGCUGGCAUACAAUUAGUGGUUGUUGUAAAUAGAUUAGGUUCCAAAUGCAAGUCAAAUUUAGUAUUUGAGUUUCAACACUAAACCCUUAAUCCAACUCGUUGCCUAACAAUGUGCAAGAAUCACUGUCCAAGUCAAAAUUUUGCCUUGCUGGGAUAAGGGAUCUAAGAACAUCUCCAAAAAAGAGAUAGAAAAACACAAUUGUACAAAAGCAACACCAUGGAAACGGUGUUAUGUCGUAAAGGUGCAACAAGUUAUUCAAGUUAUUAGAUUUGCAAAGGUCACCAUCUGUCCUCAAAAAAGGUCACAAACUGAUCUCCACUGUCCUGGUAUGGGAGGCAUUGACAAUAGAAUGAGAAGAACGAAAGAAAAGGGGAACAACUUACAAGCUAAUACUAAACAGAUGGUUGCUGGAGAAAGAAAAGAGACAAUGGCUGAGAUUAAUCCUCUACAUUCUGGGAAGUUCGAUGCAUUAUCUUGUCCUCCUUGACUAAUUCACAACCUGUAGCAGUGAUUUUUACAUCCUAAUACAGCGAAACCUAACUGCUGAUUUCCAUGCCUAUGAAAAGAAUGUAACCUGAACGGCCGUUGAAAUCUUGUAAUCAUAUUUACAGUGAAAUGGGAUGUGAAAUGAUUGAUCUGUAUCUAUAUAACAAGUCAUUAUCCAACUGCAGACUGGGAGCUGCUGCAUUACUCCUCUCGAAAUCUAGUCAAGUCAAAUGACAUGGUUUUGGAACAACUGCAAUAACAGCAGCACAAUUAGCGCGUUAAGAAACUAUAAUAUAAAUCCUCAAGAUAUAACCAUGUGACGUGCUCAAAUUCUUGUCUGAUGCUCACCUCAUGUCAGCGUCCCUGAAAACCCCAACCAGAGCUUCAGCCUUGUCAUAGAAGCUAUCUUUUAGAGAUAUUACAAUACUCUGAAAACCAUUGCCUCCUUCCGUAUCCUGGUUAACCCUGGCUCCUUGGCAAGACUUUGAACGGAUGAAUCGAGCAACUUUUGCUACAUUUAAGUUAUCCAGUGCAGCAUCAACUUCAUCCAGUAUGAAGAAAGGCGAAGGCCUAUAGCUGAAGCAUUCAUGAAAACAAAUGUGGAAAAACAAUUAAUUACAGGCUCUUAUCUACAGUGUAAAAGAGUAGAAACCAAAAACUAGAACAAAACUUUCGUAGUGGAACAGCGUACAUAUUGGUGAAAGGAAGACCAAAAGCCAGAAACUCCACAAUCCCCACCCAAAAAUAUUCAUAACUAUUGAAGCAUGUGCUCUAUGUAUCUACUGCAAGGCCUACCCAGAAUCUUUUGUUCUUGGAUGUCUUUAAAGGUAAACACUAUAUAUGAUUAACAUAUACCUGUGUAUGGCAAACAGUAAUGCUAAUGCUGCAACAGUUUUCUCUCCGCCAGAUAAUUGUUCCAUAUCUCGAAAGCGCUUUGUUGGGGGCAUAGUAGUGUACUUGACGCCAUGUAGAUAUGGAUCAUCUUCAUUUUCUAAAUUCAAAUAUGCCGUCCCACCAAGUGGAUGUGUAUUGCUCUUCGUCAGUUGCUUGUAUAUCUUAUCAAUAUUACUAGAAAUAUGGUUGAAGGCAUCCAUAAACUUCUCAUACCUGCAUUGACCAAAUAAACCAUUACAAUCAAAUGUCAGGGAAAAAAUAGAAAUCAGUUGCGUAGUGGGCAUAUUUGUCACUUACGUGAUGAUUUCUUUCACUUUCUGUCGACAGUAAACAUUGACCAUUCCUAUUACUAGUUUCUAUCCAUAAAGUUUGUCUUACGAAACCCAAUAAUGUGCAAUCAUGUAUAGUCAACUACAUUAUGAUAAUUAGACAAUCCAGUAGCAGUGUAAAAGCAAUCAAUACCUGCUUUGCUUAACCGAGUUAAACAGAUCAGCCUUUUGCUUCUGUUCUUUUCUGGCCACUUCAAACUCUGCAGUUAUAUCUCUUUCCUUUUCUUGUAGAGCCUCAUAUUGGUCCAUGGCCUUCAAAUUGGGAGCUGUUCUUUCUAUUUCUGAUAGCUUGGCAUCCAUUUGUUUCUUAAAGUCUAACUCGACUUUCUCCCGCUCAGAAGGCCUCCUAUCUCUCAAUAGAGACUCAUCUAACUCAUCAAAAUCAAAUACUGGGCCCGUUGUGGAGGAGUCAGUCUCCAUUGGAUCUGAGAUGAUAGGAAGGCUUAUUUGCUGAAGUUCACAAUUUUCUACUAUCUCCUGCUUCCGAGAUGUUAGCUGCUCAAUCUGAGUUUCCUGUAAGGCACGAAAAAAAUGUUUAGGGAUUCAAAUUAACAUGGUACAGAAGUGUCGCAAACAAAACCAAAUGCCAACCUUAGAAUUUAUCUGUCGAUUAAGUUUGGAUACAUUUGUUGUAGCAGUAGAACCCCGCUUGUUCCAUUCUUGAAUUUCCUUUUCACACCCUUCCGACUUGGAUUUCCACUCUACAUUAAUAGUGAGAGAUACAACUUUAUGAACUAAAAAGAAAGGAUAAAGUGGGUUUGCGACUCGUUUGAACAACUUGGGAAAAAGACAGAAAAAGAACAACAACCAUGAGAUCAAGUCCCGCGCUCAAGGCCUAAAAUCUGAGAAUUUAAGUUCUCCAAAAAAAAUACAGUACCAUGCCGAACUUUUAUCAUACCUUGUGCAUCUUCCUUCAACUGCUCAAUCUCAGCAGAGGCUUUUUCAGCUGCAGAGUUGGCUUCAAAUUCUUUCUUUUGAACCCAUUCUAAAUCUUUUUGUAGAUUACUAAUAGAUGAUUGGAGUUCUUCAAUUCGUGUAGCCAUGUCCCGAUUUUGCUCAUACUCUAGCCUGAAAGCAAACAAAGACCAGUAUUUUACCAUAAAAUAUGAGCAAGUGCCAAAGCUGUCAUACAACAAGUACACCAGAAACAAUAGUGGUGAAACUGGGCAGAUUGUUUGGGUUUGAUAUUUGAGUACUUCAAUAGAACCUGUGGUCAAUCUAAAAAGUUAAAACAAAAUUUUCAAAGACUUUACAGCCCUACAAAGAACUUGUAACUGGACAGCGUCAAACAUCUCUCAUCUUUAGUGAUCACUGCUUUCUAAAAAAGUCGUGUGAUAAUAGACACGACAGCGUUCUUUAAAGAUGAUCAAGACACAUCAAAAAGAAUAUAUGGUGGGGAGCGAGGAAAACCAACUGACUAAUUGGCCCAAUACUUGUAGUUGGUUGUUUCCUCAGUCAAAGUACUUGUAGUUCAUCAGAAUGUUAAAGCACAAUUUGAAGAUGCAUAAAUGCAUGCACAUUCAUACAAUAGUGUGGGAAUCAAUGAUCAAGUUAUAUAUCACAUAAUUCAUGCAUGUGUCCAACAUAAUAUACACAACUCACAUUCCACUGUAUGCCCAAAAUAAAAUAAUUACCAACAUACAACAGUAAAAUUGACAAAAGAUAAAAUAUAGGGAAGAACAUACUGGUAUUUCAAUUUUGAUAGCUGGCUACUCAAACUAAGCCUCUCUUCAGCCAUAGAUUGGGAAACCUUGAGUUGUUUUUCUUCAUACUCACGAAUGUUAUCUACCCCAACAGAUUUACUAAAGCCUUUGUAGAGUCUGUCAACAAUAUCAUUUAUCCUCUUCUCAAGCUUAUUGAUUUCUGUGCUCCGCUUAUCUACAGCUUGUUUUAGCUGCAAUCAUUUUUAAAACUGCUGUGUGAAACAAAAUGCUAGAAUAAGCUAGAGAAAACAGUAAUCAGGGAAAUACCUUCAGAAGAUCAGGACUGAUACGAUCAAUCUCUUCUUUUAUGUUCUGCCUCUCCCGCGCCAAAUUUGCAAGUUUGUCCUUGAUGCUUUUCUGUGAAAAAACUCAUCUUAGUUUUGAAUCCACUAGAAGGAACCUCAUGUUUAGCUUAAUUAAGAUAUAUCAAAGUAAAAGACUGAAAAACUAUUCACCCACCCUCCCACACCCAAAGCACAAAGGAAAAACUAAAAUAGAAUAAAUAGCAUUCAUCUCCACUUUAUAAUUAAAAGACCAAUACCAACCCUUCCCAUCAAGUCUAAUUCAUCUUAUUUGAUAAACCACACACAAGUGACACAACCAGACAUAAAACAGCUUCAAAGUUCAACCUGCAUCUUCUAGAUUUGGUGUCUGGGUAUGGAUAUAAAACUACCUUACCUGUAGAAUAGGAGUGAAAAAAAAAAGAUACAAGUAAAUCCUUGCAAUUACCUUCUCAAUAUCUGCAUAUUGGAUUUUCUUAUCAAGCCCACUAAGUCUGCCAGCUGUUUCAGACUCUUUUAGCUGCAUCUCUCUAAUUGACCCAAGCUCUUCUAGCUCCAACUCAAACUGUUCUUUCUUCUUCUUCAGUCCUAAACAACAAACAGUUAAACCACAUCAAAAAUUACCAGACCAAAAUUCAAAUGACAAUACAGCAAUUCAAAACUCACCUUCGACUUUUUUAUCAUCCCACUGUUUUGACCUAGCUUCCAUUCCUCCACUGGUACCACCAGUCAUUGUGCCAGAUUUUGACAGCAUAAUUCCAUCAACAGUUACAACUAAUUAAAGGGGGAAAGAGAAAAAAAGUUAGAUGCUGGCUAAAUAAAAACAUGCCUGACACAGAUACUUAACGAUAACAAAGUUGAACGCAUUACCUUUGAACCUCUCACCACUCCAGCUUAGGCGCUUAGCCUCAUCAAGUUCGUCACAAACGAGAGUAUUGCCAACCGCAAAGAGAAUAGCCUUCUCCAAGGCAUGAUCAAAUGUAUGGUUGUUAAGUAGACAAACUAAUAGCACCUCUUCGUAGAUUCUCAUGCAGAAAAUAGUUUUCUUACAAACAGAAAAACAUACAAGGAAUACAGGCAACAUACAUCAAGGACAGUACAUAGCAUAGUGAUCAGGAGGAUGAUCUAAAACAAUAGCUAACCACGAAAUGAUGAAGGUGUGAGCGUGCUUCUAUGCAUUAACAUGUUCCAUCUAAAUAAAUGCAGAGACGAUACUAAUCUGGAUGAUUAUACUCAAACUCUUUGUGGGAGAAAGCCAGAGGAAUGAUGAGUUACAUGAAGAAAACUUGUGCCAUAAAUGGAAGAAAAGAAUGAGAACAGAAAAUCAUCCAAGUUGAAAGGGAAAAGAAUUAAAUAAUUUUUUUUAAAAAAAUCAACAAGAAUAAAACACAUAAUGGGAUCCUAAUGCAAGUCUAUAAUAGAACACAAGUUGUUCAAUUUUUUUAGUUAUUUAAAAGUUCCAUAAUUUCUUCUAGAAAAAUAUAUGUUUUCGAUAACCAGAGUUCCACUACCCAAAAACAAUAAUGCACCAGAAAUUAGCAGCACUAACCGGCCCAGAUCAAAGAUACUCUCUUACUGCAUAUGAUGGAAAACAUGAAAAUGUAAUACAACAUAUAUAUACACACACAAAAAUAUAUGUAGUUAUGUAUAUAGAUCAAUCACACAUAACAUCUCUGCCUAUUUCUAUGCAUACAAAUAAAGAGCUAUACAAUGUGCACUACACACAUCCUUUUCACACAGACAUGCAUGCAUGCAGACAAACACCAACAAGAUUACACAAAAAUGUAAAUCUUCAACUACAGAGUUCGGAACAAACAAAAGUUUGGACACUAAACCAAUGUAGGCUUUUGUAGAAGCAAAUAUCAAGAAAAUAACACAUAGAUUUUAUUUGAUCUCUACUGUACCGUAAGAUGAUAACCAUGACAAAGAAUUAUUGAAUUUUUGCUCUCAAGAAAGCAUGAUGAAAGGAUAUUGAACAACAUCAAAAACCAGCUUUGCAGUACCACCCAAGUUACGCAGUCUCUCCAUUACUUGCUUUACACGAACAGAUUGGAGAGGUAUGAAUGUCUGAGGAGGAAGCCUUUGUUCUUUCAAAUACUGCAGAAAUGCAAGGAUCAGUAUCAGAACCGCAUUCACAUGAAUGAUAUAAUAUUCAAACUUUGUCAACAUAUAUUUCACAUUGGUACCCCAAGUAAUCAAUAAAACUGUCCGUAUCAUUAGAUAUUUCAAUAUUCAAACACACAAAAAACCAACAGACUCAAACAGGAUAAGAGAAAGAAAAAAAAUUAAAUCUCUUGAUUUUCCUAUAAUCUAUUUUCUUUAUUUUUAUUCUGAUUGCCUUGCAACUACUGUGAUGUGAAUAAUCAUUAUAAAAAUUGAGAAUUUAAAAUCUUAAUUUUACCAAUGAAAUAAGGAAGGCAAUCUUAACAAGCUAGUGUAAGCAUUCUACAAGAGCGAAAAGAUGAGAACAUAUAUCACCUUGAUACACUCCUUUCCUGUUUGUUCAUCUUCAACUACGACUGCAUCCAUAAAUUUUCCCAUGGCAACAGUGACAGCAAGAUUAUACUUCUUUUGUGUUGGCCUACAGAGUUCAGUCAUGCGACCAUGGACACCCUGAAACAAGCGCUUGAGAGUCUCUACUGCCUGAGACAACCUGGAAUCCCUCUCAUUCUCAUAUCUAUCGGCCUUCAGUUCACGUAAUUGCUUCUCUAAUUCAUCAAUUUUUGACUUCAAAUUUUCAUACUUCUGUCUGUAUAUCCAUAAAAAGGAUAAUAGUAAACAUACAAAUCAUCACAUUUUGCUAGUGUCUUGUAAAAUAAGUAAAUAACAACCUAAAGAAGAGAAAAGAAUGGAGAAAUUUAAUCAAAUGAAUAAAGGGGAAUGAGAAGCACCAGGCAACACAUGCCAAAACCUUAGCAGAACGUAUGAAUGACUCUUAAAAAGCAUAAAUUUAAAAAAUAAAAAUAAAAAAAAGCAAGCAUACAAGCAAGUUGAAUAACCUGGCAUUCUGAUGUUUAUCCUUCAUCACAAGCAAUUCAUUAUUCAGACUUUUUACUUCCUCUCUGUGUUUUGCAGAGUUAUCUUUAAUGUUUUUCAGCCUUGUCAGCAUUUGCUUAUUCUGUGAAUCCAGUUCACUCUCCCUACUUCUCAACUGUUCAAGAUUUUCUUCCAAAUUCUUUUGAGCUUCAAGAUCAGCAUGCUGUUGCCGAUCCAGAACCUCUUUCUCAUCUGUUAGCUUCGCAGUUUUCAUCCCAGCAUCCUCCUUCCUGUGACAUCAGCAUACCAUUAAUAUUUACAAAGCCUAUCAAGGAGAGCCUCUAAAUCCUAAGUUAUAUGGUCCAGUGAAGGUAAUUUAGAAAGUUCAUGAAGAUCGAAAGGUAGGCAGGAAACUGACUUCAAUUCUCAGCUCAAAAUUGAAAAGUAACAUGGCUUUUGGUUAAAGAAACAGAACUUCAUCUUUAAAACGUAAGGAAUGGGACACUAUCAUCACACUGAGAUGCAGUAAUAAAAUUAAACAGAGAUUACCAAACACUUACACUUUAAAAUAUUCCCUCAAUUUAGUAUCGUCUAACUGUAAUUUUUCACCACCGUCUCGUCCUUUUUCAUGUAAAUCCUCUAGUUGAGUGGUCAAAUCUUGGAUGCCCUUCUGCAGCUUUUUAAUUUCCUCUUUAUGUCUCUCCCUUUCUUUUUCUUUCUUACCAAGCUCAGUCUUACUUUUCUUGAUUUUUGAAUUUAUACGAGACAUUUCCUCUUUCAGUUUCAGCAGCUCUGGUUUCUACAAAUACGAAACCACAUCAAACAAUUCACUGUAUGUCCUCUUGAUCAAGCAUAAGAUCAAUUAUAUUUACAGAAAAGUAAAGGCCAUUUAUUUUAGAACGUCAGCAAAACUAGCAAUAUAACGGAAAAAAAUUCACAAGGACCCGUUCAUUCACCCACAGCAGCUAUACGAGACAGUCAGAUACUCUUAUAUUAUAUAUGUAGGUUGAACGAACACGGUUUCGCUAUAAUAAGUAAAAAUGUAAAGAUUUAUGUUAUAACUUCUCUUAAGCCUCGGUCAUUUGAGGGUCUAACGGAGACCAACUCAGUAACAAAAAAGCAAAAUGAAACUCAUGGUAUUGGACACAACUAUCAAUGAAAUUUCAAUCUUCUGUCCAAGGCAAAGAAACUCACGCUUUUGUCGAGUUUAUUACUUCUCUCGGCAAUCUUCUUCUCACAUUGGGCAAUCUCUUUUAAGUACUUGUUGAGUUCUUUCUUCUUUUUGGUUGCUUCUUGCUGAAAAUCAUCUAGUUCUUGCAUAACCUGUUCACGGUUUCUCUUUUCAGCUUCAAGCUCAUUAGUCGUUUUUGUUAUAUCUCUUUCUAUGUUGAACAACUGCCACAAAAAAUGUUCUCUCUUCAAAGAUUUCUGCAAGAAAGAAUACAUGUGAUUUUAGUAUUACACAGAAUCAAAGUUCUUAAGCAGAAGAUUCAAAGACAGGAGCAUACACCUAUUGAGCAUGUAAAAGAAACAAAACGUCAAUACCAAAAUAGUCUACAGGGAUAAGAGUUUGAUAUAUUAAAGACAGAUCCUAUAUUAGAUUUAAUCUACAUGUGUGAAUGCACACAACCAUGUGGAUGCAAGAUUCAUAGUGUGUGCGUAUUUGCGUGUGUGCGUGCAAAAGAGAUAAAAGGGAAAUGCAAUAUGCGAGACCCUCUUUCCUGAAAGUGAGUUCCUAGUAUCUACAAUAUCUUUUAAAGUUACAUGAUAUCUUUCAUGCAGGCACUUGUACAAUUAAUUACAUAAUUUCACCCAACACGGAUAAUUGAAACAAGCAGGAUAGACAUACGAACAACCCCGAUAAACAUAAUAUACAACAUAUGCAUAUUAUUGUGUGCAUAUAGACAUAUGUAACCAUUAACCAGUAAGCACGGACCAAGUAUGUGUAUAAAUAUAUAUACACACACACACAGCAAGUACGUGUAUAUGUAUGUAAAUAGAAAAAGAACGUUGAGGUACAAACCAGUUCAUUUUGCAGGCGAAUAUGCUUCUCAGCUUCUUCCUUUUGCUCUUUCUUUUGCUUCCUCUCCGCUACUAUGGUCCUCUUUUUCUGAUAAACAAGUGCUGCUUUUUCUUCAGCUAUGCCUUUCUCUUCUUCGUACUUUUCAUAGUCUCUCUUGAAGUCAUCUGACCCUGAGAUCUGCUCAAGCAGUGCAGUGAGUUCCUUAGGAUUUUUAGAGGCAAUGGACUCCACAUCACCCUACGGAGAAAGAAAUAAUCAGUAAUUAAAAGUGACCCGGUUACUGCCAAGAUAUGCAAACAUCAAAGUCACCAUAAAAGCAGCAGUCAUCUAUUUGUCUAUGAAAAAUAAUGCAAAUGAGUAGAGAUUGCACGGUUAGCAACUUCUGUGAAUUCUCGUUUUUUCCCUUUUAAUUUUGGUUUGGAUGAACAUGUUUCCAAAUUUAAUAAAGAUGUUCCAACGCGUCACUACACCGGAGUGCCCAAAUAAGAGUACACAGAGCCUGAAUUCAACAAUGGGUGGCAAGACAUUUACGUUACCUAACCCAACACCUUCAACUUCGCAAACGAAAUGUGCAAUUGGCGUCAGAGACAUUUUCGAUAUUCAAUAAUUAACUAACGCAAGGUGUGGCCAAUAAAUGUCAUUGAUGUACCUUCUCAUUCUAUUCUCAUUCAAAACCUCUGCUUCUUAGCAAACAUACUCCCUAAAGCAUAAUCAAUGAAAACAAUUCGACAUAGAAAAGCUAAAUUACGAGUAUCAAGUAAUCGAAAUCAACCUGAAAAACAAGAAAAUUGCGGGCCUUGACCAGAAUUCCCAACGACUUAAGCUUCUCAGUAUAAGUAUCCGCCGUCACCGACCUGCCGUCGAUGCGGUACUCACUGCCGCCGGAGCUAGUGAUGGCCCUGGUGAACUGGAUCUCGGACUCAUUGGCAAGCUGAUAAACCAAGGUCACGAACGCCCGGCGUCCCUUCUCGGUCUUCUCGCUGUCGUCCAUGGCGUAGAUCAGGUCCUUGAGCUGGGACCCACGGAGCUGGCCGGUCUUGACGCCGAGGACGAAGCUGAUGGCGUCCAUGAGGUUGGACUUGCCGGAGCCGUUCGGGCCGAUUAUGGCGGUGAAGUCGGAGAAGGGGCCGAUGACCUGGUGGCCGCGGUAGGACUUGAAAUUCUCGAGCUCGAGGCGGUGGAUUUUGCCCUGGGAGAUGAAGGACGGCAUGGCUUAGGGUUUCGGGGAGUUUGAAUCGAAGCUAGGGUUUGGGGAGGAGGUGGAAUUGAGCGGAGUAAAGGAGAGAGGAGAUGAGGGGAGGGGUGGCCGGAGAGAUGAGGAGGGGAGGUUUCCGGCGAGAGGGGAGGGAGGAGUGGAGGCGGAGAGGAGGGGAUUGGGGAUUUUGAGGUGGGAAUUGGCGGGAGAUUGGGGGAGUUUUGGGGAAUUUUAGGGAGGGUUGGUGAUUUGAGUUGCCAUUUUCGAAGUGAGAAAAAGUAGGAGACCGCAAAGAGUGAGCGCUUUAGUAGAGAGUCGAAACGUUUCGCUUUGGGCAAGAGAAUGCUAUUAUUUUUAUUUGCAGUUUAGUCCUUAAGGUUUUCUUUAUUUUCGUUUUGGCCGCUAGUUGGGUCAAGAUUUUACUUUUUUCUUCUUGUCUGAAUUCAAUAUGUGGAAAUUCAGUAGUUAGUUUCUUACCUUUCUGACUUUAAUCUUGUUUGAUCAAAACAAAAAACAAGCUCUUAUGAACUUUCAAUAGUCUCAUAAUAAUGUGUAUCAAUGAAGAAUGAAUCUAAAAAGGGGAUCAAUAGCUACUUAAAUUAUUGUUAAGAUUAUAUGAUAUGAUGUUAGAUUAUAGAAUCAUAUCACAAUAAAAAAUUGUAAUUUAAUAUUACUUGGAGAAUCAAUAUAUAAUCUUAAUUUUAGCGUAGAUGGUUAUUGUCUUUAUUGAUCCACCCAAAUCGAGAUCUAGAAAGAUGAAUGUCAAGGAGCUUUGGGGGGAAACUGGAAAGUAGGGGAUUGGCGGGAGAUGAAAUUUGUAAACUGCAGAAUAAAACUGCGAUAAUAUAAAAUUAUGAAGAAUGGGCUUUUCUAUUCAAAAAAAAAAAUUAUGAAGAAAAAAAUUACCAUGGUCAAUUGACUUUCCUAACAAAAAACAUCACAAAAAAGGUGCAACCAAGGCAAAGGCUAUGAAUAGGGAACAAAUCAAGUUGUCAUUCUACUUUCAUAAUGACAGUACGUCUUUAUAUCGUUGCGGUACGGUUCUUGCACUCGGGAAUUUCCAACAAGGAAAGCGAAGAGAAACCGGCAUAUAAGUGAGGAGAGAAUCCAGAACAUAUACUACACCAGAGAACGGUACAUAGACAUGUCAAGUAAGGCAAAGAAACUACUCAUCUGAAAAUGAAAAACAGAAAAAGACAGUAGCAAGAUGCACAUACAUAAAAAGAGUUUAGCAGAAGGGGCUUAUAGAAUGGAGACAGCUUCCACAAAAUAGUUUUGCCCCCACCUGAAGUCCACAUUCCAUGCUUAAAAAGUACCGAGUAUGAUUACAGAAUGGUUAAUUACUCUGAACAACAAUCAAAGAAAGAGACUCCUAAUGGACAAGGAUAUCCUGCUAGUAAGAAGUCAUCUGGAUGGAUGAAGCUUCAUCAAUGACCAACUUUUUCACUGCUAGACGAAGUGCCGUCUUGUACAGAAUCCGCUAUUUUGGUUUCACUAGGAGUUCCCACAGGCGCAGAUGGGAUGACUUCAGAAUAAAUGGAAUAUUCAGGCAGUAUACCGCCACGGUUUUGGAUGUCAUCUAAAUCCUCACGCUCAGGGGGGUUUGAGUUUCCUGGCAGUUCUCCAUGAUUUUGAGCCGGCACUUCUGGCACCUCAGGUCUGGUGGCAUCCGGAUUUUCAAGCUGUUGGCCUCCAGAGUUUUGGGAAGCUUCCAACUCCUCAUACUUGGAAAUAACUUGUUGAAGUUCUUCAUGAAGAUAUAGAGCCUCAAAGAGCAUACUUUCAUCAUCAGUAGUGGUUUCUAUAAUCCUCUGAAUAACAGGCUGAGACUCCUUGCACUUUUCCAGCAUGUUCAUCGUUAGUUCUUCCUGCAAUCAAGCAAGCAUUUCCACCAAGUUACAUAUCAUCUUCCGCUCACAAGUUGAUCUUUGGAUUAGGUAAAAUAUGGAAAAAUAAUCGUAGGAAAGGUCAAAUACUAUCUAGAAGAAUUAUUAUCAUGCAAUAUAUAAUCAUAUAGGAUAACAGCGUACAGGCAAACCUAGCCAUAGAAGAAUUACAACCGCUCUCCCUUACGGUCUGUGCUCAUAGUCAUAAUGCACGGAACAUGAAAAUUCUUCAACCUGCCCUAUAUUAUUUCUAUCUUCCUUUUAUAUACAAGGGAUAUGUAUUCUUCAAUAAUAUUUUAUAAAAGUAUUUUGAAUAUCCGGAUGCUUUAGAAUAGAAAUUUGUCAGUGAUAAGGAAGCAAAGCACUUAGUUCUAUCUCAGUAUUGAUUCCAGAGAAAUUUACACACACACACACACACACAUAUAUAUAUAUAGGAAUUAGUAUUGAUUUCCACAGAGAAGUCAGAAACACACCUUCAAAGGUUUCGGAUCUGUUUCACUAUUCAAAAUACUAGACAGCAACUCCAGGCUAUUGCGAGCUACAACAAGACAUUCUUUUUUUUCCUCGACUGAUAGGUAGUUAUAGCGAAAUUCACGGUCACUUGCAUCAUGAAAUCCUGUGACUGGUACAGGGUAUCUUUCCGGGGGAGGCAUAGGCUCUUCCAUGUAUGAUUCCAAGGUAGAUUGCAACGAGGGCGAAGUCCCUUCUGGUGCCACUGGACGUGCUCCUCUUUCUCUCAAUGUCUGUAUAACACCCAGAGAUAUAAUAAGGACAUCAAAUAUUACUUCAAUGGAUGAAAACCAAGAUUACUACAAGAAGAAAAUUCCAUGGUCCACAGAAGACAGGCCAGAAACUUAACAAAAUGAUACGGACCUAACAUAAUAAGCUAAAUGAUGAUGAGGAAUUUGGUACAAUGUCACUCUACCUUAGGAGAGGGUAUGCAGAUCAAAAAGGCGAUUUCAUGGGUAGAUGUAAACUAAAAAUCAUUAUAUCAAUCAAGAAGACCACAUUAUGGAUCAUCUUCAAAGCGGGGAACUAUAUACUAGGCCAUAUGAAUGUAAAACUGGGAGGUCAAGUCAUAAAUUGAUCAGAAAAGGAAAAGCAUACGCAAUGCUUUGUGCAACUUCCGUAGACUCAUAACAGAGAAACAGCAACGAAUAAUUGUUCUUCAGCCCCAGAAUAAAUAACAUAGCCUUUAUCUAUGAAAAACCAUAGCUGCUGGUUCAAAGGGCCAAUCAACUCCUAAACACUGAUGUAAUUCAAUGAUGCAUAGAAAAAUACCAGCUAGCUAAAGUCUCACACAAGAUAUGCUUUAUGCAACGACAUAGAAAGAAAUCAAAGAAUGCUCACCAUGUAAGUCUGACGAAACACGGGUAGAUAAGCAAGAUCCUGAGACUCUCCCCACGCCCUAAUCAACUGCAUAGCCCUCCUCCUAUUCUCAUUAUCCGUCUGCGGAUUCUCAAUCAUCCUAACCAUCUCCUCCAACACCUUCUCGGACGCAAUCUCCGAAAACACCUUCUCACAAUUCAUAGCAAUCGCCUCCAACAAGUCAAGACUCAGCCUCUGCGUCACCACACUCUUCCCCGAAAUCUUCCUCUUAAUAACCCUCACAACUUCAAACCCGCUGAACUCCUCACUAUUAAUCAUUGCACAUAUCCUCAAGUUCAUCCCCCAAUUCGGCUCCUCCAUCGUCUCCAACGUCGCCUCGUCGAUCAUCCUCGAUUCCGGCGUCGGCGUCUGCAGAAUCUCCUUCACUUUUCCACUCACCAUCCUACCCAUCUGAGCUCCACUCGUCACCAGUUUCUCACCCAAGUUACCCAGCUGAGUUAAGUUGAACUUGUCCAUACUUCACAACCCUGGUUCCAUUUUACAAAUCACAAUAAAACACACACACCCUCUUAGUCUCUCAACUCAAAUCUUCAAUGAAACUGUAACUAUUCAGCAAAGAAAUGACAAAUCCUAGAUACAGUUCUAGAUUGACGUUUUCAUAUGAAACAAAAGCAGAUGGAAUUGAGAGAUGGGAAAAGUGAGGUACCUGGUUUGAUGGUGGGGGCUCCGGCGACGGAAAACGGGGACUGGGCGCAGGGAAGCGUUGAUCUUUUUCUGGUGAAGGUUUGGAGUUGAAUUGGUUUAGAGAGAGAGAGAGAGAGAGAGAGAGUGGGGAUAGUCAAAACUAGAAAGGGAGAGAGGGAGUACGUGGCGGCAAGAUAGGAAAGGAGACAGGGAUUUGGCGUAGGUUCGCGGUUAGUGGUGGGUCUAGUGCCACGUGGAUUUGGGAGUUUCGGGUCGGGUCCGAGGUCUGUUGGAAAAUUGGAUAGUUCUAAAAACGGUCUGUGUACGGAAAAAAGGAUGGAAUAAACAGGGUCUUGCUCGUUUAGAUAAAACUAUCGAGGUACUAACUAACUUGAUUGUCUUCAUCUUGUUUGUUACUGAUAAAGUGAUAAGUNAUAACAAAGGUUGAGCAAAAAUCUAAGUUAAGCUAUACUUCAUAAGAAAUGUUUUNAUUGUUGACUAUUCUUUAAAAAUUAGAUGUAAUCACUCGCUCAUCACCAAAAAAUCUAAUUGUUGUUUAGGAGGGACCAAAAAUUUGCCCUGAGAUUGGNUAUGCAGCCCAAUNAGAGCCGNNNNNNNNNNNNNNNNNNNNNNNNNNNNNNNNNNNNNNNNNNNNNNNNNNNNNNNNNNNNNNNNNNNNNNNNNNNNNNNNNNNNNNNNNNNNNNNNNNNNNNNNNNNNNNNNNNNNNNNNNNNNNNNNNNNNNNNNNNNNNNNNNNNNNNNNNNNNNNNNNNNNNNNNNNNNNNNNNNNNNNNNNNNNUUGUAUGGUGGGGCGUCCGGCGACGGAAAACGGGGAACGUGGCGCGAGGAAGGCGUUGUAUCUUUCUUGGUGAAGGUUGGAGUUGAAUAGUUAGUAGAGAGAGAGAGAGAGAGAGAGAUGGGGAUAGUCAAAACUGAAAGGGAGAGAGGGAGUACGUGGCGGCAAGAUAGGAAAGGAGACAGGGAUUUGGCGAGGUUCGCGGUUAGUGGUGGGUCUAGUGCCACGUGGAUUUGGGAGUUUCGGGUCGGGUCCGAGGCUGUUGGAAAAUUGGAUAGUUCUAAAACGGUCUGUGUCGGAAAAAGGAUGGAUAAACAACGGGGCUUGCUCGUUUUGGAUAAAACUAAUCGAGGUACUAACUAACUUGAUUGUCUUCAUCUUGUUUGUUACUGAUAAGUGAUAAGUGAUAACAAAGGUUGAGCAAAAUCUAAGUUAAGCUAUACUUUCAUAAGAAAUGUUUUUCAUUGUUGACAUCUUUAAAAUUAGAUGUAAUCACUCGCUCAUCACCAAAAAUCUAUUGUUGUUUGGAGGGCAAAAUUGCCCUGAGAUUGGCAUUGGCAGCCCAUGAGAGCCGCUUUGUUCAUCACCGACAAGGGGUGAAGUUAGUGUCGACACGAAAAGAAGCGCAGCCAGAGAGAAUAGGGUUUUCAUUGUCUCUUUUUAAAGUUUUUUUACCUUGAUUUCAUUAUUGAUGGUUCUACUCAGCCAUUCGAAUUUGCUAUAUAUACCUCAUUUAAUUUUUGUGAAAAUUGAUUUCCUCUCUUACAGUCUAAAAAAUUUCACAUGUUCUAUCCAAGGAAGAAAGCAAACCUAGACACUCGUAAUUUUAGGUUCUUAUCGUUGACGAGGAACUUCAUAUAGAAUUUUAUUUUUGAGUACGGCUAUUGAGACCUCCAAAUUUGCUCAGUAUACCUCUCAUUCUCUCUACACCUCCAUUUUACUUUUAAAUACAAACAUUUGCUCACUAGACCUCCAUUCAAAUUUCUAAAAUAACAUUGUUUAUGUAAUUCACAUAUAUUUCAAUAUAUUACUCAUUGCACCACUUAUUCAUUCACUAGACCUUCCAUUCCUUUUUAUUUUUUUCGCAUGCGAACAUCCAUUCCUGACAUCCAUUAUUUAAUUUUUUUUUUUUUCUACGCAAACAUCCAUUCCCGACCUCCAUUUCUUUUAUUUUUUAUUUUUGCAUAAGAUGUCACUAGACCUUCUAUUUUUUUUUAUCAAAUUGUAAGAAAGAAUUUCAAUGACAUAANNNNNNNNNNNNNNNNNNNNNNNNNNNNNNNNNNNNNNNNNNNNNNNNNNNNNNNNNNNNNNNNNNNNNNNNNNNNNNNNNNNNNNNNNNNNNNNNNNNNNNNNNNNNNNNNNNNNNNNNNNNNNNNNNNNNNNNNNNNNNNNNNNNNNNNNNNNNNNNNNNNNNNNNNNNNNNNNNNNNNNNNNNNNNNNNNNNNNNNNNNNNNNNNNNNNNNNNNNNNNNNNNNNNNNNNNNNNNNNNNNNNNNNNNNNNNNNNNNNNNNNNNNNNNNNNNNNNNNNNNNNNNNNNNNNNNNNNNNNNNNNNNNNNNNNNNNNNNNNNNNNNNNNNNNAACAAGGUAUUGUGUCUCAAAAUUAAUCUCUAUCGAUCAUCAAAAGAAUGUUUUCAUGAACUUGAUAAUUUAUAGAUCAUUUAAAAAAAAAAUAUUGUUUUCACGUAUAUGCGUGCAACACUGCAAUAUAAUGAUAUAUAACAUAACAUGUUGUAGGAAUAUUCUACAUGUGUAUGUCUUGGUCUAUGCUAGUCAUAUAAGGAAUCUUGAUUCCGUAUAGAGAUAUGAUAUUAAAGAUAUGUUUCCUUGUAGAACACCAUAUAGUGCUAUCACUGUUAUGUAAUCCCUAUAUAAUGGCUCUUAUAUAAAUGAAUAAGAUACAGUUCUUCAUUCUCUUUACGAUCUAUUGUUCUUUCAAUAAUUAUUUCUUGAUCAUAAUUACAUAAAUUUUUCUGUCCACAUGCAUGAUGGAUAUUACUCAUAGUUUUAGUUGUUAUAAUAUACAUAUAUAUAUAUAUGCUAUAAUAAUUAUGGAGUAAAAUUAGAAAAUGACAAUCAAUAAGAAAAAUAAUAAAAAGCAAUUAAUUCUUAUUUAAUUGGAAGUUUAAAGAGAAUAAAUAUUAUAUUUAUUUUUGUGUAAUUAUUGUCCUUAAUAGUCAUUAUGUAAGAGGAUAUAUAUGUUAUUUAAUAAUUCAAAAUAUAAUGAGGUCCAGUGAGCAAAUUUAGAUGUCCUAAUAACCGCACUAUUUAUUUUUUAUAUGAUAAUAUAUUACGUUUGAAAAAUUGAUCUUGUGUUGGACAGACUAUCCAUAUGCAUAUAUGCCUCAUGAAGUGAAGGUGUUGCACAAACCAUAAAGACAUUUGAAUGUGAUGUAAUAUUUUCUUCAGGAUGCGGUGAUGCGGGGAGAGAGAGAUAGACCUUCGUACUCAUGUUAUGAAGUACCUUCCAAACAUUUGAAGUUUAACUGCAACUCACUUUGUUGACUAGAAUCUACAAUUACCGUUGCAGACUCACAGCUACUAAUUUUAUGAAACUUAAUUAAAAAUCCGAAAAUUAUUUUAUGCACCUUGGUGCAAGUGAACCGAGCAACUAAUAUAUAAUAUUUUUGAUCCGGCUAUCCACGUCGCACUACAUGCAUAUAUCCUAAUACCGUUAACAAAUUGAAACACAAAAAAAUAGUCUCAAGUGUUCAAGAAGUGAGAACCUGAUGUUGAAGAAGAUGUACUUUUAUUAUGGUCGUUUAAUUUGAUCGGAUCAAAAAUGAAAAUGAAAGAAAGAAAUUUAUGGUCUAUAAUCUUCAUUUGAUCUUCACAUACGGCAAUUUAAAGACUUACAUAUUAGUACAAGUACAUCACAGUAUACAGGGCAUAGAAUCCAUCCGGUAAAAAACCUAACAUAGGUGGCCAUUAAUUCAUUAUUUUAGUUUUGUCAAAAAAAAAAAAUACAGAGCUCUACUACCAUCAAAACACAUCAUCGUCUAAAAUCGCGAUUUGCGAAAGCCCACGAGAGCAUAAUAACGACACAGAAACUUUUUAGGGGUUUAACAAAAGUGGAACGCCCAAACUGAACUUCUUCAACUCAUAAAGCAGUUCAAUCUCUCUCCGUGUUUGCGAUGGUUUCCCUUGGCACCUGGUUCCGAUACAUAGCCCACAAGCUUGAAUACUCUGCCACCAUCAGCUGGAAGGUCUCUCACUCAUUCUUUGCUCUUCCCCAUUUUGUAAUUUAUCUUUAUUUGCUUUGAUUAAUCCGCUUCUGGGUUAGAAACUAUGAUUCUCUAGACCCACUAAGGUUAAACAUCGAACUUUUGUAAUGGGGAGUUGUUAAUUUUGGUAAAGGAAUGCUCUUUUGGGAUUUAUGGGACCGGUUUGCCCCUACCUGUGCUCUUUUGUUGUUUAAAGUAUGAAACUAUAUGGACCGAAUUCAUGAAUUGUGAGUCUGGGUUCUGUUUUGAUGUGGUUUAUGGUGUUAGGAUGUUGUUGUGGAUAAGGGUUUGGUACUUUGGUUGUUGCUUUUCUUAAUAAUUUGUGGAUUUUCUCAAUGGCAUUGUUAUGUUUGAUCAUAAUUUCAUAGUUGUUUUCCCAACUGGUGUUAUAUAAUACUUAGUGUAAUAUUGAUACAUGGGUCGGAGCUUGUGUUCGUUUAAGUGCUUGGUUUAGCCUCAAAAUUGCGAUUUAGUCAUUUCCGGUGGCUGUUUUGGGUGCAUAAGAAGAUAGAGUUAGCUUAUAGAUAUGCUAUGAAGAUGAAAACUUUUGAAAAGCCGAGUUUGGUGCUGGUGUGUGGCUGUUGAAAGUUUAAGGUCAAGCGUAAAACUGGGGGACAUCUUUCUUCCUCAGUUUUUUAAUGUAUAGCUUGAGGCAAAAGGAAUACAUAUAAUCCUGAUAAUCCUUUCACAAGUCAUUAUUAGUAGCAGACUUGGUUAGUUUAUCAGAUGGUUUGUAUGGUCAACCAAUACUUGAUCUCCUUUUGAUAUGUAAGUUAUUUAGUUAGUAAAGGUUGUAUGAAUGAAGUGUGUUUCUGUUUUGUCCCUUGUUUGUUAAAGUUUUACUGACAUCAAGGUUUGGGAGAUGCAGAACUAUAAAAGAGGUCAAAUCACAGACAGAGAGCUUGGUGAUGCCGUUUGGAAAAACCUGUUCCAGGGAAAAUUGACAUACUUGCACUGGAACAAAGGAGCAGAGAUGGCCCCAAGUAUAGGUGAUCAAGGGGGAACUCUCCUUGUCAGGAAGUUACCAGCUGCAGACCCCAGGUAGUUAUCAUUUUAGAUGCAUCUUUCCAUGUUGAAUCUCCGUUCUGUGAGUUUUUAAGAUUGAGAGUAAAAGCCAUUCCUUCCAAAGUUACUCUAUGGAUCAGUUUGGAGAUCAUUUUCAUGUAAUUAUAUAAGAUGCCUCAUCGUGCAUUUAAAAGAAUGAAACUUUAAUUGUUAAUCUGAAAUCAGUUUCUUAUGAGGCACUUUCUAAUGGUUGUGGGUUUUGUAUUAGAACCUCUGAUUUCAUGAAUACUUACAGAAACUUUAAGGUAUCAUCUCAAAUUCUAAAUUCUAGGUCACCCAUGAUGACUUAUGGAUUCAUUCCAAAAAAAAAAAUGGAUGACUAUUAUGGAUUACUCAAUCAUGCAGUUAGUCUUUCUACCUUAAAUUGUUUCUUUUCUCUUUAGUUGCAGUUUAGCAAAAUUAUUGACCUUAACUUAUGUUGGUUAUAAAUUCUUUGUGAACCAUUUGGUUUAGCAGUGACUGAUUCUGCAAAUGAAUAUAUGGCAUAUGAAUAUAUGUGGUCUGGUUUUGGUCACUCAUAUUGAGUAGAAAUGUGUGGCGCUAUUCUCUUAAGCGUUUCUUCAACAUGUACUUUUGACUUUUGAAAUGACGAUAAGCUUUAUGAUGCGUGUUUACAUGAUUUGAUAGUUCCCUACCUGUUCAAGUGACACCUUCAUUUUUAUCUGACAGGCGUGUUUUUGUUGGGGAUGUAGUGGUCUUGAAGGACCCUGAUAAUCCAGAUAAUUAUUUGGUGAGAAGAUUGGCUGCGGUUGAAGGUUAUGAAAUGUUGUCCACUGAUGAAAAGGAUGAUCCUUUUGUCCUUGAAAAGGACGAAUGCUGGGUGUUGGCGGAUAAUGAAGCUUUGAAGCCUAAGGUACAUGCUAUCUUUAAAUUUAUGUUCAGACAAAUGUAUUGACUAGAUUUGCGGUUACUGCACAAUCCUUUAUAUUCCAUCAGUUUAUAUUUAUACUGCUAUAGCACUAGCAGAGUGGAUUAGCAUCUUUGUAGCAAUACAUAAUGCUUGGCAGCAGGCGGGCAGUUCUGAACUUUUGAUUGCUAUCUUGUUGUUUUAGCAUCUAUGAAAUCAUUAACAUAAUUCUUUCAUGAACUAUACCUUAGUAGUAAUUCUAAUAUGAAGAGGAUCCUUAUCAAAUCUUCAGGAGACCUUUUCCAUGAGCUAUACUUACGUAAAAACAAAAAAGCUGAGGUGCUUGUCUCAUUAACCACUACAAACAAAUUUGAUUCAUUACAAAAUGUUAUGGAACUGGUGAAAAAUAUCAAAAUAGGUAAAGACUACUGGAAAUAGGUUUUAUGCAUGAGAAGGAAUAAAUGUAUCAACUGAAUAUAUGUUAUUCUAAUUGAAGAUGGUUAAAACACUUUGGAUGAAACUUGGUCAUAAACAUGCAAUAGAUGCAUUAAAUAUUCAUCGAUUGCUAGAUAAUCUUCUGUCAUGCUCUUGAAAAGAUUGAAACUCACCUAUAGUUAUAGUUAUAUAAUCCAUUGUUUAUCAUAUUUUACUUGAAGAUAUGCACGCCAUGGUUAGAAUCAAGAAUCCACCUGCCAUCAUUUGAUCAUUUGACUAUUUGGGGGCACAUGUAUAAAUCUUUAUUCUCAUGUACUGCAGGAAGCCAAUGAUAGUCGAAAGUUUGGUCCUGUUUCAAUGACGGACAUAGUUGGUAGAGUCAUAUAUUGUCUACGGACAGCUGUUGAUCAUGGCCCUGUUCAGAAUAGGCAAGUUACUCAAACCGAGUCUGCUUAAUUGAUUAUGCUGUUUUGUUGGACAAGUUCUUGAAUGAUUUAUGUUUGUUUCUUGUGCUCUUUUUCCAGUCAUUUUAGCAUGAGAAAGGAUUCGCCUGUGCUGGAAGUUGAGUUGGAUGUCGAUGAGAUGGCAAAAAACCACAAGUCCUAAAAUGUGUCAUAAGCCACUGACUCAUUUGGUUUGUACCUAUUUCGCCCCAAUUUCCUAUUGGAUUAUUUUUCUUCUUUCUUUUCUUCCCCUUGUUUCAAGUCGGGAAAAAAAUAAAGAUGGAAUUUCAAGCUGUUCUCUAGUCAUGGGAGGGCUCAUGUUUGUAUGAGUUUAAGGUUGUUCAGGUCCUCAUUGUUCAGUCACUGUCUUUCAUUCUUGUUGAGAAUAUGAAACGGCCUGUACGGAAUUUUGUGUUUAGAAAUGAUAAUUUUAUUCUCUUGCAGCAGUGUAAUCUGAAGUACUGAAGAAAAGAAGGAUAAAUCCAGAUGUUGUGAGGGAACUUUUCGGACUUUAAUCUUUGGGGAUGUUCUUAGAAAUGCUGUUAAUUUUCCACCUUAAUAAACAUGCAGCAAACACAGGUUAUUAUUUGCAUUAGUGAGCCAAGUGGUUAUGUCAGAUUCUUUCGGUUGGAAGCGUUGGGGGAUGCCAUAAGCUUUUGCAAACUGCCUAGAUUCGUAUGAUAAUGUGAUGACUAAAUCUGAGAAUGGUCGCAACUCAAAAUAACCUAACCAUAUAUGGCUCUUUAAUCUUUAUAACUUCUUUUGAAUUAUUAUUUUUUGGAUAGAACUUCUUGUGAAAUUUGAUUUAUGGUAAAAUCCCGGUUCUUAUUCCCUCAGAAUUUGGAGAAAUUUUUCAGUGCUACGGGAGGACCACGUGGCAGUCUGACGUGGUCCUACAUUCUAAUUAAAUUUAGACAUGUGGAUUUUCUUCAUGAAAAAUUAUUUCAGCUAUUCGGUCAAAGACUAUUUUGGGUUUUAUGUUGUUUUUUAAAUACUAAACCUUAAACCCUAAACCCCAGGUUGAACUUGCUAAAUACCUAUGAAUGUCAUUUCACAAAAAAUAAAAAAUAUUAGUUAAAAUUUUAGUUGUAAAAAAUCCACAUGUCUAAAUUUGAUUAGGAUGUAGGACCACGUCAGACUGUCACGUAAUCCUCCCGUAGCACUUAAAAAAUUUCUCCGGAAUUUGCUAAAGAACGAAGUUGACAUCUAACAAAAUUAAAGAUGGAGUACAAUAUCAUUUUUGUAUGUGAUGCUGGUCUCUGCUAACAUUCAUAUUCUUCGUAAGUGAGAAGUUAUGAGUUUUACCAGUUUUUACUAAUAAAAAUGAAAAAUUGGAGUCUUGUCACCCUUGUUCUUUUUUUUGGCGUGAAGUCUUGUCACUUGUUAUACAAUGGAAUACAACACCCGGGCUGGGCAACUGGGUCACAAAACCCGGAUCCGAGACUAAACCGACUCAAAGUGUUGAUGGCUUUUAUACCCAACAAGUCCCUUAUCAAUGGCUAUAUAUAAAACCAUAACCUGGAAAUCACUGGGAGCCAGAAUAAUAGUCAGUCACAUUUGAAACCCAGAAAAUGCAAAACCGCCACCACUGAACUGAACUCACUUCUUCUCUUCUCUUUCACCUAACAAUGUCACAGAGCGUUCAUCUCAUCUGUAAGUUCCUCAAACCCAAACAACAGACUUUGGCUACUUUUCCAUAAAAACACUUGAUUGAACUCGCUUGUUUGCUUUUGGUUGUCGGGCAAACAACAAACUGGCCUUUAGGUUUCAUUCUUUUGAUUAUUUGUUUUUCUGGGUUUGGAUAAUUUUGCAAUUUUCUGAUACUAUUUUACCUGCAAGUAUCUCCCAUUCCUCUGAAAAUUUGAGGCUGUUUUCGUUUAUUUUGUUGAGCAUCGAAAUUGGUUAUUGAAAUUUGUUGUGUAGAAUUUGAUGUUUAGUGUUUAAGGGUUCCCCAAUAUAUGUUGGCUGAAAGGAUUCUGUAAAAAUAGCACCUGCAUAUGCAAACUAUGUAAAGGAGUUAGCUUUAUUGUUUCGGGAUUGAUAUUUUGUUUUCACGGAAGAUACUUUUGGUAAUGGACUGCUACCGCAUUUUGUGAUAUCAAUUGUAUUCAGUUUACGGGUAAGUACUGGCUGUAUAUGGGAAAUGAACUUAGCUAUGAGGGUUUUAGGUUUUGGUUUCCUUUGCUGGGGGUAUUUGAUUGUUUUAGGUACUUUGUUGAAACAUAAAUUUGGAAUUUUUAGUGUGAGGCCGGUUUAAUAUGUUAUUUUGUUUCCGGUUAUGAUUAGUGUUUCCAAGUAGAUGUGGUGAAUGGUGGUUCAGUAUAUCACUUAUAGCUCUUACUUUCAUGGUUUUGUUAAUUUGCAUCCUGAUUUCGGAUGCUGUUGGUUGUCUUACAGGUUAUGGACCAUCAGAUAGCAAAUGUCUACCUUGUUCUGGAAUUUCCAGAAGAGUAGCCUCUGUGUAUCCUUGCUCUUCUCAUUUCAAGUCGCAGGUCAGGGUUGGAUCACUAAACGGUGCUUAUGCUGGGGCGUCUUUUACGUGCAGAUCAAGUUCUAGUGGUCGUAAUAGAAAUCCAGAAUUUUCAAGGCAAAAUAGGCAAGGAUACUCCCGGGGGAGGAACAGGAGAAAUGAAGAUAGGGAUGGCUUUGAAAACCUUGAAGAAUCUGAUUUACUUUCUGCUAAAAAUGGGCCAACGCACUCCCUCCCUAGUAACACAAAAUUUGGGGCUACUGCAGCCCCUGGUCCCAGAGAAAAAGAGAUUGUUGAGUUGUUCAGGAAAGUCCAGGCUCAGCUUCGGGAGAGAACUGCUGUUAAAGAAGAAAAGAAGGUUGAACCCGUGCAAGGGCAAGGUAAAGAGAAUGAAACUGUGGAUUCUCUUCUUAAACUACUAAGGAAACAUUCAGCUGAACAGGCAAAGAGAACCAGUAAUGGGGUUGGAAACAAAGACUUUAUGUUAGACCAACCAGAGAAGAGUGACCGAUAUAGUGAAAGAAAAAACAGGGGUUCUUUGGAUUCAAAUAACAGCAUGAAGGACUAUGCUGAAGAGCCUACUGCCUCUUUGAGCAGGCCUGCAUCAAAUUUUCGACGCAAGUCUCCCAUUAAUCGAUUGACAUAUCAGCCUAUUUAUUCAGAGGAUGAUGAGAUAGUCAAUUCGGUGCAGCAUGUGAAUUCAACUGACAAAAGGAAAAAGAAUUAUGCUGAAAGAGUUUCUAAACCAGAACCAGAGCAGGAGCCUGAGCUUGACAUUGAUGUGGAGUCGGUACUUGAGGCUGAGCCUGAGCCUCUUCACGUGAACGACAUUGACUUUGAGCCUGAGCCCGAGCCUGAGCAAGAGAUUGUUCAGUUGUUAGAGGAUGAGACUUCAGGUCCUGAAGAAAAUGUUGAUGAUGAUGCUGAUGAGGAGGAGGAGGAUGAAGACAAAGAGCAACUUAUUGAACAGAGGGAUUUGAGUGCAUGUAAGCUACCAGAAUUAAGGGCACUUGCCAAGUCUCGAGGCAUGAAAGGGUUCUCAAAGAUGAAGAAGGCCGAGCUUCUGGAGUUGCUAAGUGGUGGGAGCUUGGAUUGACUCAUGAAUGCACGGGAUACUAGUUCGACAUUUGAAUACAGUUGCUACAUUUUUGAUUUGGUUUUAUCUAUUUUAGCCGCAUUUGCACUUGUUAUUAGUCUUUCACAGAAAAGUUAGUUUGUUGGGCGUUUCCAGUUUGGGGGGUUUUUUCCGGAUCAAUGGCUGGUCUGACCCCAGUGCGAAUUGGCCUGUUUUUUUGUUUUUGUUUAGUUCAGUCAUCUUAGGGAAGCUGUCAGAUUUAAUUUACCUGUAGACGAGUGAGUGAGCGCUCUAUGUAUAACUGGUGAGCUAGUUGAGUACUUGAAAUAUCAAAUUCGUAUCUGUAGUGUCUUACUCAAAAUAUAACUUGUUGGUCUCUUGCUCUCUUUAAAUAAUUUUUUUUCAAUCUUUUUCUUGUUCAUUUCUCUUAGGCCUUCCACACAGGUAUUCCGGAAACUAUGCAACUUGAGAGAAUGUAUGUUAUAGUGUUAUAUACCAUUGCAAAGCGAUAAAGGGUGUUUCUAGAUGUAUCCAGCAAAUUUCUAAAUAAACCCAGCACUUCAAAUUUUGUCACACUUUUCCUGUUUUGCCCUUAAGUCUAUUUACACCCAGCAUCUAUUUCAAAACGUUAAACCCAGAUCCUCCGAUUACUUGAGUUGUGUUUCAGUAUGAAUACAAACAUCAAGAGCAAUAAUUUAUCAGCUCUGCUUUAUUUUUUGCAAACAAUCUCUCAUGUUCUAUGCCACACAAUUAUAAUCUUGAUUUCAUAACUAACGUUUUNNNNNNNNNNNNNNNNNNNNCUCUCUCUCUCCUCCUCUCUCUCUCUCUCUAAUCACUGUUUCUACUUCUCUCUCACUCAUCUCCUCCACUCUCUCUCCUAAGCUUCCCUCCUCAACCCGUUUAUCCACUGCUCAUUUCCAACUGAGGACAAGAUUCCAAAUAAAAAAACUAUCAUUUUGACCUCCUCCUCUAAUGCCGUCGGUGAGGACGGCAAGGUAUUUCCCACACGGAACCGAGCGAGCGCGAACAGCCGACGUGCUUCUCCACCUGACGUAGUUGGACCUUACAGCAUUGACGAUCUCGGCGAGGAGGCGUUUAACUUCCCUUUUUAAAUUCAUCCUUUUAUACAAACGGGGUAAAAUGGGUAAUAAAAUUAAUGUUGGGUACAUUUAACAAUUUGCUGGGUACAUCUAGCAACACCCGCGAUAAAUCAUUUGGAAUUCCCAUGUUCACUGUCCAACAAUCAUCUCUGCAUACCAGUUUUAGGCACUUGUCAAUUUACUGAAAAUAGAGCAACACAAACUUAUAUCAUCACUGAAAUUAUGGGUGUGAUAAGUAAAUGGUCACUUAGAAUUGAGAUUAUAUUUCUUCUCUUUUGCCUUACGAUGCAAUUUCUCUUCAUUUAAUCUAGUAUUUUGGAUAUUGGGGAAGUACAAAAAUCUCAUAGAAAUAAGGUUCAACGUCUAAUAGUUGUCAAUGCAGGUAAAACACUAAAACUGAUCAAAAUUGGACCAACACCAAACUGAGUUAUGUUAAACUGUCAUAGCUUUUUACCGAGUUUUAAUUUCUAAAAAAACCGAUGAAACUAGUGUUUUUUAGUAACAAAUUCGAUGAUCGUCGAAAUUAUUUAGUACUUUUGAAUUAUCACGUGUUUAUGAUUCGAAACAACCUAUUGUUCGACUUGUUCAUUCACUUUAUUGUUUCAUAUACCCCCAACUUCAAUAAUCAUAAGAUUUGUAUUAGUCGGAACUACAGACACAUGGUAAUCCCGGACAAAAAAGGUGAUCGAAAAUCAAAUUUAGCUCACAAUUUAAUGUACAAUUUCAAUUAUCACAACCCAAGCCCAAUUCCCACCUUUACCCCUUUUUAAAAUUUUACAGAAAGAGCGAUAAGAUAAGGCAACAAAUCCACACGCACUCUCACUUCUUCCUCCUUCAACAAUGGAAGCCACUCUCGUCCUCUCCCCCUCCCCCUUAUCCCUAACCAGACCCGCCAACCCCUUCCUCUCCCUCCCGACCCGACCCGGCUCCCGUCCCUACCGCCUCCCCACCAUCCGGUCCGCCAUCUCCCGCGUCAAGAAAGAAGAGACCGUCUCCACCAUCAAAACCAACCUCGAAAACUGCUACCUCCUGGCCGGAAUCAGCUACAAAGGCCUCACCGUCAAGCAAUUCCAGGACCUCCGCAAAGCCCUACCGGACUCCACCAAGCUCAUCGUCGCCAAGAACACCCUCGUCUUCAAGGCCAUCGAGGGGACCCCCUGGGAGGCCCUCAAGCCGUGCAUGACGGGGAUGAACGCGUGGCUCUUUGUGCACAGCGAGGAGAUCCCGCCGGCGAUUAAGCCCUACCGGGAUUUCCAGAGGGAGCGGAAGCUGGAGAACGACUUCACCGGAGCGGUGUUCGAGGGGAAGUUUUACGGUCCCGGAGAUUUCAAGGCGCUGGAGACAAUGCCGACGAGGCUGGAGAUUUAUGCCAAGCUGCUUGGCUCUCUUAAAGGACCGGCCUCGAAUUUGGUGGGGACGAUUCAGGCGCCGGCCAGGGAGCUGGUCAUGACUUUGCAGGCGUAUGUGCAGAAAUUGGAGGAGGAGAGCGGGCAAUAGUAAAGAAAGAAAGAAGCUCUGUAAGUGUAUCUUGAACUUGAAGAAAUAACCAAAAUUUUAGGUUUAUUCUUUGAGUUUUUUGUGUUGUUGUAGAAUGGUUGGGCAUUUAUAUCUGUUGUGUUGAAAUUCGAGGAAUGAAGAGCUGUAGAUUUUGUAAAAUUGGAAUCUUAGCAAGCAAUGAUCUUCAUUUUUGUGGCUAUUUCUGCUUAAUUUGCUCCACUGGUGUGGUUUUUAUACUUGCCAGCAUAAUGUAUGCUUAUAUAGAAGACCCAAUGCCUAAAAAAACAGUUAUGUGUAUACAAUUACAAUCUUCAUACAUGAUAUAAUGAACACAUGAAAUCUAUUCUUGAGUUCUUAGCAUAUGCGCUAAAGCCUGCUGCUUGUGAAACAUUGGAGAUACGAGAUGUAAUUUGCAUAUCUACAUUAAUAGCAACUGUCAUGGUUCAUAUUCAUGGAAAGCAAAAUAAAUGUGUAGUAUAGUGGAACAAAUAAGCCAGGGUGAAAACUCUAAUUUCUUCUUUUGUGGUUCACGAUGAUGAUCAGUGAGGAUAUACAGUAAAGAGUGUAGGCAGCAGUGAUUUAUUUCAGAAUUUUUGGGCUAGAUAGUGGUAAUGCUAAUCCAAUAGUGCCACUUUUGCUUAUAUGACUUUGGUCCAUUUUUUUCCUGAAGUAGAUUUCUAUAUAUGUCACAUUGUCAUUGCUUUCUUAUCUAUAUGUGAUUGGAUAGGAGACGAAUAUAUUUAGGCAUGCCAUUAAACAUACCUAGGAUUUAUCAGUUCCUCAAACAAAAGAAGGGGGAAGAAAAUAAUUUGGAGGAACAUGAAAAUAUCAUAGUGAUUCAGUUUUCAAAUUGAUAUUAAGGAGAAGACUUGCACAACAUGCGUGAGGGUGAAGUUGAAUUGCCGUAAUCCUUCUGAUUACUCAUAAUAGCUCUACCGCAGUGCCCUUAAGACAUUUUCUCUGGAAGCAUGAAAAUUAAAACUAGACAAUGCCUUCUCCAGGCAGACUAAGAAAGACUGAAACAUUGCGCCUAUAUUUAACAUACAUGUCACAUGCAAUAGUUUUCUGGUUCCAUAUUCCAUCACGAGCAGGAUAAUCACGCUUCAUAUAGUUCUACUUUCUUGGGCUCCUCCACUUUGUUUCCUUUUAGCUAGAAAUUUUUGAGAUCUCUUGGAAUCAUAUGAGCAAGGUCUUGGUUCAGUGUUUUAAGAAUGUCUUGCUGAGUGACUUGUCCAGAUGUCCAAUAUGAGCAAGGUCUUGGUUCAGUGUUUUAAGAAUGUCUUGCUGAGUGACUUGUCCAGAUGUCCAACACCAGCUAAGUGGAAGGAAUUAAAAGUUCUAUGCAGAUAUUGUAAUAAACUGGUACCACUGUUAGUUCUCAACCUCUUUGAAAUUAUUAUAUACAAAUCAUUUUUCAUACAAUCUUGAUGGUUGGGAAUAUCCUAGCUUGAAGGUUUUGUAAAUGGAAAUAUGGAAUAUGUUUCAUCCUAUUUACUUGCAGAACCGAGAACAUUGCAUUGGUCUCUUUCAGCUCAACCAAAUUAUCAUACCAUUGGCUUAGUACACUCCCACAAUUGCUUCAAUUAAUUAUUUCUAUUCCUAAAUUAAGUUCAUUUUCUUGUCAAAAUCAUUGUGGGGUGAAUCUUGUUUAAUUUUGUUUCACAACAAGCAUGUUGAGCUAUUUGAUUUCAUAAUUGCAUCAUUGUGUUUGCUUCUCUGGAUAAAGUUUGAUCUUGGUUGCAGUUUUGAGUCUUUUGACACAGUGAUUGACAGAGAAGGCAAGAACCUCUCUAAACUGAUUGUUGUGCCAAAAACUUAAGCUGUUUGUUGUGACGUGGAGCAGAAACUUCAGUAUUUUUUUUUGUCUGAAAAAAAAAAAUCACCCUUUGGUUUUAUGCUUCUACAGAAAAUUUGGUAGUUAUGGAAUUCCAUAAGAGCAAUUUCUCAGGUUAAGAGCGUAUAGAUUUUGGUUUUAUUUUACUGCGGAUCCAUUUUACUCGAGUUUUUCAUGUCAUGUUGGAUUCUAGGAUUCAUGUUAUGCCUUGGCCAGUCCCUCAUGAUUGCCCAUAUCUACACUUACCAGUUAUCAAGUUAUGCCUUUCCCAGUCUCUCAUGAUCCAUGAACCUCAGUAAAUGCUGUAGUUGCAAGGACAUUCAGUACUUAAAUGCAGUCGGCACCAGUGGCAUACAAACUUCCCUGUACUGACGAGUUUCUGGGCUGUAAAACCAAUUAUAAAAAUUGCUUGUAAACUCUGCUGUUAGUACCAGUCAUCCAGAGUACAACUCUACAAGCACUGGAUGGAUGCAUGAACCAGGAAAGAUGACUACAGAAUAGACCUGUGCGAGGUGCGAUUCUGUUGGCAUUUUAGCUGGACAUUAUAAGAAAGAAACAAGAUAAUGAGACCUCAAUUGUCCCCAUGAAAAAUAGCAUUAUUGAACCUGUCACCUAUUUGGGUGGAGGUUUUGGUCAAUGGGCUAAUCAUUCAUCCUAAAAUUUUGUUUGAGAAUGGAGCUUCUGUACAAAAUAGGAAGCCAAAUGUUAUGGACUAUUAGCAAACUCUCUGUUUGUAGAUGUCACCAUUAAUUUAUCGAUCAACAGCAAAGUUGUUGCCUUCAAUAUGUUUUAGAAUGAGUGGCUUGUUAACUCCUCUUUGGAGCAAAAGCAGAUGAACUUGGACAUUAAAAGUCCUUUAUACUCUUCUUCAUGUGAGCUGUUCUGUUAGCUCAUACUCCACACUUAUGUUUCUUUCUUUCGCUUUUGAAGGUGACAUGACAAAUAAAACUCGUUCUGUGUCGAAUAAUUCAAUUACUACUGUUCUCUAAUGAAAAGAAUAUUUCGAUCUUUCGCAAGUGCAGCUCCUCAUGAUAUAGAACCUGGAAUUGACAUUUGAAGACUGCGAUGGAUAUCAGACACAGAAGAAAACCGAAGCAAUCCCACAUUGUUUAGUAGUGUGUAUUGUUAUGUUGUUACUAGCAAUAAGCUAAGAUUUUGCUUACUAAUAGGAUGAAGGAGCAAUUCCACAUCAACGACCCUACCCUCCAGUUAUGUGAAACCAAAUGCACAUGGCUUUGCUUUGCUUAACACAAGUCUGUCCUAAAAGACAGAUUUCCUCCAACUUGUUUCCUCUGUAUGCUCUAAAUCUCACCUCAACGUUUUGCACAAUGCAUGUAUGACAUUUUCUUUGUAUGCGCGCGCCGACGUUGAUGUAUGCGAGUCUCAUUUUAGCACUCAGAUCAUCAUAUGCAUGUUUAGAAGGAGGUAGGCAACACAUCCUUGUUAAUGAAAAUUUUGAAGAGAAAUGGUAAGAUGUCUGCUGAAAUGUCUCACUGUAGAAGACGUGAGUUCUUUUUAGCUAUAAUGAGGUUUAGGAUCCCUGGACAAGCUCACAAUGAAAGAAGCGGAGGACUAAAUCACAGUCGUUAAAGUCAUUGGCUUUUCUUUUCUGUAACGUUUGUUCAUCUCGAUUGCCAAAAUGGACAUAGGGGGAACCAAAUCUUUAAUUAUCAUGUCCUUCGAAAGUAGCAACAUGCCAACUGAGCGUGUACGUCAAGUGUAGUUUUGAAUUUAGAAAUCAAAUCAGAUUAUGAAAAGGGUUUUGCUUACUGUUUACUUAAAAGACAAGGAAUGACACAUUGAGCUUAAAGUAAUUACCUUGUGAUUACUGAUUUGGGAAAGCUUAAGCAAUGAUUUGUCGAAAUUCAUAUCGAAAUUAUGCAAUGCAGGUCAAUGUAGCAGAAGGGUUUCUGCAUUAGAAUUAUGCAGAAGGAAAAUAGUAUUGAUAUUUCCCUUAUUAAGAACACUCAAUUUCAAAUACUGAUGAAGACGAAAACAGUACUUGGUACAGUACUACUCCUCAGUCCUGGUCAUGAUACUGAUGGAAGACAAAGCUUUAAAAGCUUUGUCCUGAAAGAGACUCACCAUCAAAUCUUGCUUUGAAUUUAAAGGCGACCAAAGUGUGUGCAAUAAUGCAAUCUGAGCACAGUCUCAUGCGUAGAGAAUCUGGGAAUCACUUACGCCUUAAUUUACUAACUCAAAUAGUGGAGAUUGCACUGUUAGAAAGUAAAUGGUUAGUAUACAUCUUUUUUUUUUUUAGAAUAAAAUGGUUAGUAUACACCUGUGGACAUGGAUCGGUGUGAAGAUCUCAUACAUUUUCAUGCCUUGAUGCUUUAAGAAAAGUGUUUUAUAAUGCUCCGGAGCAUUGAAACUUGAGAGGCAUUGGUCAUUGGAUUAGCUCAUUUUGUUGGGUACGUACACCGCAUACAUUGACUAAUAUAAUGGCUCUUACGAUAUCAAUUCAGUAUUCUGAUAUAUGGAACUGCUUAGGGAAAUCUGUGAAAAUGUUUACAUUUUUAACAGUUUCAUAUAAUCAUACAAGGAUGAUCACUUACCAUUUAUGAAGCAGCACAGAGGCAGGCCAGUACAUCAGUAUUCCUAUAGCAGAGUUGCUGCAAUGAAAACCACCACACACAACUUGUUGCCUAUCAUUGUUUCACAUGUAUCUGAGACAAAAUCUCUUGCUUUAAUUAGCAACAAUAGUACCAUGCCAGCGGCAAAGAGUUGGGACACAGAAAUACUGGUGAAAAAUGCAAGAGUUGGUUCCCAGAUUUCAAAUAGCAUUUACCCUUUUCUUUCAGUGGUGUCAAAUAGCAUAUGGACUACCCUUUUCUUCUAUCACAUCAGUGGUUAUGUCAAUUUUUCUUAAACACUAAUCAGCUUAUCAUCAAAGAGUAAACAAACAAACAAACUGCUUAGGUGUAUAGUUUGGUUGGGCAGCUAUGUUGUUUAUGUUUUCUAGCUUGGAGAAGGAGAAGAGUGAAGUAGGCAUGGCAGCAACAUAUAAAAGGGUGCAAUUUUAUCUUAUGCUUAACGUUGAGCCUUAAAAGAGGAUAUUAUUCUAAAAAGCAUUAGCCUUUUAGUAAAUGGAAUCUUAAGCAUUUUAUCGGUGUGGAGUAGGUAGCAUGUAAAUCAAGUUAUCAUUUGUUUAAAACUGUAUAUGAAUCAUAAUCCGCAGAAAAGCCUUUAUAGAUUUUCUUAAGUGAUGAUAAUGGUAGGUAUCAAGUUCAUUAAGCUUAAUUUUUGCCAACCGUGCAUUUGUUUGGAUCUUCAAUAAUCUGAGGUCCUCCAGCUCCCAGGAAUAUGCAUAUAUUUUUCUGAUCACCCUUUGUUAGCAUAAUUUGCUUCAUAAUUUUCUGAAUUAAAUGACAUAAUACAUGUUAAACCUUUAUAAUUGUCUAUCCAUUAGUCUAAUCAUUUAAAAUUGACAUACAUUAUCGUAGUAUGCCCCUGCUUUUAUGAAUUUUAACAUUUUUUCAUCCAAAUGCCAAUCAUAUUUUACUUACACGCGUCUUUAUCAUAAUUUUAGUUUUUUUAGUUAAAUAAGAAUUAUUCGUAACUUCUCUGACGUGCAUAAGACACAACAUGUUGUCACGUUAAAUCUCACACACAUAAGAUAUUGCAAGUUGUCAUACUAAAAUUUUACGUCAAGAGUAAUGCAAAAAAUGCAUGAACAGUUUCUAUGAUUGACUUAACAUUAUGAUAUUGAUCUCAUACUACUAAUUAGAGCCGGAAAUGUCUGCAAAAUACACAGUUAAUGUAAGUUAUUUACUACACACGGUUGACAACCAACCCUUUUGGAAGGACUACAAACCUAGUCACCCACUCACCCUAACACAUAUUUAACUUUAUAAUCACAUGAGGUGAUGUUAUCUCACAUUUUCAACCUUCAUUUGUAAAGUUAGAUUAUGGGAGGAACCGAGGGAAGAUUGAACUUUGAUGAUAUUGAAGUGGCGGCUCUUCUUAUACCUUACGCAUAUUGCAAAAUGCAAAGGCUAUGUCUUUAUCAAAUUUCAUUUUUUUUUUGUUUAGAUUGUUUCAAGUGUUAAGAAUAAAUAUUUAUUUAUUUCAGCAUAAUUAUCCUAUUAAAAAAAAAAAAAAAAUUACCUUGUUCUAGGAUAUUCUUUAUGUGUGCCUUGGCCUUAUGCCAAUAGAAUAUGUAGUUAGACUAGAUCUAUGUAUUCAUAUCCUUACCAUAUUGGUAUUGUGUAAUUUCCUAUAUAAAGGGCUCCUAUCAAUGAAUAAGAUGAUGAUUCUCUUGCUAUCUCUUUGUCUCUACACUUUAUCCUUCAUCACGUUAUCAUGCACUUUGUUCUAACCCUAGAGCCAAUAGCCCACCAUUUUUUUCUAAACCCUAAAAUCGGGCAGCCUUGUUUUUCUCGAUUUCCGACCAAAAUUCCGACUGUCCUCCACCGGAAUUUUAUAUCCCUAGAAAGCUCUCUCCGUCCCGGAUCCAACGCCUCCGGUCUCACCCUGAGAACCGGCCGGAAAGUCUCCGAACCGGCCGCCGGAAGAUUCCAGACCGCCGCCGCUACCAACCACCGGUUCACCACCUUCCCUUGCUCCGAUCAACCUGAAAUUUUGACAGCAGCUUCCCCAUCCAGAGCUGCUCCUCCUUUCAAAUUUUCAGCCCCAAAUUCGAAGUAUAAGUAGGCGAAACGUUAUUUCUCCUCUCGGCAGCCUCUAGAAAGGUAUGUUUUUUGAAACCUUAAACUUUUCCAAGUUCAAUAACUCGGGGAGGAUAAAAUCCUUUCCUCCCUUCUCCAUCUCCAUUCUAUGCUUGGGAUUUUGUGCGUGCAGGUACCCAAAUCCCGGAAUUUUAUUCGCGGGUCAAGAGUGUGUUUGAUCACUCUUGUUUCUUUGUCCGGGUUGUGUUUGAUCAACCCCGACCUUUCACCGGAUUGUGUUUGAUCAAUCCGAGGCCUUUUUCCGAAUUGUGUUUGAUCAAUUCGCGGCUUUUCCGGAUUGUGUAUGAUCAAUCCGAAGGACAAACCAUUAAAAGCAUCGUUUGUGACCUUUAUUGAGUCUCAUAACAGCUUGUUUUGUAUGCAAGAGCAAUGUAACAUUCUGCUCCUUUGAGUUUUGACAUACUAGAUGCCUAAGACAGAUCUUCGCUUGGUAUCUGUGGAACCUUUCAUUGGAAAGGAUUAAACCACAUGUUUUGACCCCCAGGCUAACAAGCCUAGAUGCCGAGAUUUCACAUCUCAUGCGCUCAAAGUCUUUGACGCGCCACAUCGACAAAAGCCUUCAAUGGCAAUCUGUGCAAAAAGUAAUGACCACAAGUACUGUGGAAUGCACUCAUGGAGCGUUUCUCGAAACGUUCAUAUAACUCUACUUGUUGAGUUAUUAGUCAAGUGGAUUGCUUACCACCUUAAUUGACUACAUAUUGUCGAUGAUCUUUUGUGGCAUCAUGAUCCAUAAUCUUUAGCGGAUUCGAUCAUCAUCAAGUUCUCUAGGUCCUCCAAGUUGGUGUGGAAUUACCAACGAGACUUGAUUUUGAUCAUACAAACAGGAAUUGUAUAUACGCUAAUGUGAUAAACUUAUUUGGGAUUAUCCCCUAAUGUGGGGACAACAAUAUGGGUCAUGGCAACGGCAGAAAACGUCGUGCUGAUGUCUAGAAAAGAGGGGGAGGUGUUGCCGGCUCUAACAACGACACUCCCGGUCUAGACACCAUUUUGUCAAAACUACUCACGUCAGCUCAUGACAUUAAUGCAACCGUUGUGGAUCUUCGGAUCACUGGUUCAAGAUUGUCAAGCUCAUUUAAAUUGUGAAUGCAUACAAAAAGGUAUGGAAAAUCAAUAUGAGGACAAGAACGUCAUCCUCAUGAUCGCGAAUUUCAAAGAUUCGGAUCCUGCUCUAGCUACCCAUGACUUUGAUGUCAUCGGCUAGACAUUGAUUUUCGUUACAAGUUAUAUGUACUAAGGCGUUGUAUCGACGUCCUUUGUCUAUUUGAGACCUCGAUGUACUCACAUUAGCAACAAUGAAUGCCUUGAGGAUUUUUCAAAGUGAAACUAUUCUCCUCUUAUGGUUCAUAUUGAUUUACAAUCAAGAUGUACACUUACAUCGUCUUUAGAAACAUGACAUAUUGUGCCAAUUUUGGUCCCUUCCUUUGAAGGUGACUCAUGGCACUGCAUCCUCAAGGAGGAUCGCCCACGUGUUUCCGGUUAAGUCUUCUACCCUAUAGCGAAUUUUUUAUCAUCAAUUGUUCAACUAGGCUCAUCCAAGCUCAGUGUGAUGUCUUAGAAUUGUCUAAAAUUAAGGAGAUAAUGGUUUUAAGUGUGCCUCGCACUACCGACCCUCCACGGACAUGCCUGGUCAUACUGACUUGGAGUUACCGAAAGCUUUUGAUUUUGGAUCCCCCUACGCUAUUAAACCAAUUGCCGUCUUGCAAAAGACGUUGAAGACUUAUCAAAGCUGGAAAAUUAUCAUCAUAAUCGGAUCUUCUAGGUCCUCUGAGUUAGUUUAUGUUCAUGUCAGGGAGCUUUUGCUAACUAGUCAUGGAGUUUACGACCUUAGAACGAUCGAAAGGACUUGGUUUUGAUCAUACACAGGUCACUUUUGGCUAAGGCAAAAGCCUACACGCCACCUGCAAGCUUCACAGCUUCGCACAUGCCAAAUCUGCGAAAAACAGCAAUCUGUCCCUUCUGGACAGUCAACUUCGUUUGAGCUUUGUGAACAGCUCCGGACGAACCAGACAGUGAGCUUUAUAUCAUUGGAAAGCUCUAUGAGUCUAGUUUUCAGAAAUUUUCAUGGUUCGUCCGUAUCUAUUUUAACUAAAAAGUUAUGGCUGUUUUAGUGCGCAAAGGUCAUUCUACGCGGAAAUUUUUAUGCACUCUCGGGAUUGUAACUUUUCGUAGCUUCUUUCAAUCCUUCUAAAUGGUUCAAGUAGAACUAUUUACUCGUCCAUCUACUCCUUGUAGUUAUGUCUCAUAGAGACAUUGAGUGCUUCGCAGAUAGUGGAACUAUCCACAACAUUCUAAGGAACCAUGUUGAGCUUUAAAGACAUUCAUGCUAAUGGUUUUCAUUUGAAAACACAUUGUGAGAAUGAACAAGAAUUCUUUUGUGUAUACCUCCUCAUGAAUGCGAACUGAAACGCAUCUUGGAGAAAUUCAUGAGUCAAUCUAGUGAACUGUAUGUUACUACGAUUCGAAUAUCGAAUCCCAUGUUGUCGCCAAACAUGAUAUUUGGGACACCGACUCAUAUAAGCUUUGGUUUGACCAAAUUGGUCAACCUGGAAGAGAUAUAAUGGUCCAAAUUUUGAGAAAUUCUCAUGGACAUCCAUUCUUCCGCUCAAAACGAAGACAUUUGAGAUCUAGUAUCACCAUGAAGCAUGGUGGUGACCCUUGGGACAUUGACGUCACCCGAACACGACUCCAACUUCCUGGAGGUCGUCCGAUCAAUUCCUCAAGCAAUUGAGGUGCACCGGCCUUUCCUCGAUGUCGCAUUGGCCCCCUGCAAUGCUCAUUGCUUGUUUUGAAAGCCUAUUCUUUAGCUAAAUAAGGAGUGAGACCCUCCUACGCUAAAUAACACAAAAGUGAACAUUCUAUUCUUACAUCAAACUAUGUAGAUAGAUACAACCAGCUUGCGGACACCUUUUUAUGCUUUAUGGUGUUGGUUGACGUGUUAACACAUUGGUCACGUGUUACACUAUUAUCUACUGCUUAUACUGCUUAUACUGCUUGUACUUCUACGGGCUCACUACCCAUUCUUUAAAGAAAUUCAUAGGGAUGUAAGUUGAAGUGUCCUGUACCCCAUGUUCACAUGCAAUACGGUCUCACCGAGGCUACGACCAAGCAACUUUAGCUUGUCGCUCGAACAUUAUUGAUGCGCACCACUCUUUCUAUUGCGUCUUGGGGCUAUGCAAUAUUUGCAUGCAGUUUUACUAUUCAUCUACGACCCACCAUCAUUGAAUUUUGUUGUACUACAGCUCGUGACUGUGUACUAGGAUUGACACGAAAUUGCAAUCAUUGAGCUCGGCAGGAUUGAAACGGAUCUCCAAUCCUUGAGCUCGGCUAGAUGUUAUUUCUAGGUGCCAAAUCGCAUUGCCACUGCGUACAAUGAUGAGUCAUUUGAGAUGAAUAAGUUUAGGCUGGAUAUGAACCUCCACCUAUAAUCCGCAUAUGUAGGAACCUUGUCAGGCGAUCUCAUUCACCGCUAAAUUGCGGAUUGUCACUUUGAUGAGACAAUAUUCCCGCCGUUAGGGGGAGAUAAGAACACAAGUGUUCAAGUGGAACGACGUGAAUUGUCGUGGUUUGUCCCCACUAAGUCUCAUCUUGAUCCCAAAUGCUUAUAGUGUUAAAGUGACGAGAUCACAUGCUGCAAAUAUGUCUGCAAGGAUUGAUGUCCUACAAAAGGACAUGGCGCGACCAAAAAGUGUUGGUCUUGACGCCAUCACCAUGGAUGGUN